CAAAAUGAACUAUCUAGUUGCUGCUGAGAAAGGCCUCAAUACCAUCUAUUUAUAGCCUCGGGCAGCUUUUGUCCGUUGUACUUUCGGGCGCCCUAAACCUGUUUCCGGGCGCCCAGAAGUUGUGCACGCCAGUUGCUUGUCAGACCACGUGCGCCGCUUUUCUUGACUUCGUAACUUUGGGCCGUCAAAAGUUAUGGGCGCCCAGAUCACGAGGGACAGCUUUUCUGACACGCGCUGCUUCCUCUGGAUUUGGGCCGUCAGAAAUUGUGGGCGCCCAGAUCUCGAGGGACAGCUUUUUCUGACAGCCGGAUAUUUCUGGAUUCGGAAUCAUUUUGGGCUUCCAGAAAAUAUGGGUGCCCAGAUUUUCAACACGCGCGCCGCCUGCGUCAGAACUUUUUGGGCUGAUACGCAACCUGUCAAGUCAAACACUUUCGGUCGCCCUAAACUGAAAUUCGAGCGACCAGAUCAGGUAAAGAAGUUUCUGGACCACCCAAACAGCAAACAGGCAGGAUCCAAAAAGUCUCAUGAGAUUCGGAUCCACUUUAGGGCGCCCAGAACAGGGUCCAGAAAUCGCAACUUGACAGAACACAGAAUUUGAGUAGUUUUUGAAUAUUUAAAAAAUCCUAUGCAUCUAAUCAUAAGUUAGAAAUUUGUUUAAGUGAUCUAUAAGGUGAUAAGAUGAAUAGUUUAAACUUAGCUCAAAAUUUCUCACUCUAAUCAUAAAGCAUCAAAUUAAGAAUAGAGAGAGUGAGUUUGUCUUUUUGACAAAAGAAGCAGGUAUAGCUUCAAGUGGUGAGGCUCGGUACUAGAAAAUUGCCCAUUUUGAGUNUCCACUAGAUGAUGCUUUUGCGGGCAAGCACCAAGCCUUCACAUCAACUCCUUCUUCUCAAGCUUCAAGACUUUGAUUUUUCUCUCUUUUUACAAGAUUAAAUCUCACUACAAAUUUCACUCAAGCUUAGAGAAAGAAUUGAGAGCUAAGAGUAUUAAGAUCACUGAAGUUUUUAAGCUCAAAUGAACUAUCAAGUUGCUGCAGAGAGAGACCUCAAUACCAUCUAUUUAUAGCCUCGGGCAGCUUUUGUCAGUUGUACUUUCGGGUGCCCUAAACCUGUUUCCGGGAGCCUAGAAGUUGUGCACGCCAGCUGCCUGUCGGACCACGUGCGCCGCUUUUCUUGACUUUGUAUGUUCGGGCCGUCAAAAGUUGUGGGCGCACAGAACACGAGGAACAGCUUUUCUGACACGCGCCGCUUCCUCUGGAUUUGGGCCGUCAGAAAUUGUGGGCGCCCAGAUCUCGAGGGACAACUUUUCUGACAUGCGCCGUUUUUCUCUGGAUUUGAGCCGUCAAAAGUUGUGGGCGCCCAGAAACUCAUACUGACUUUCUUGGCAGACAGCCCAGAUUGUGUGCGCCACUUUUUCUGACCAAGAUCAUUUUUGGGCUUCCAUAAAAUCUGGGCCCCCAAAUUGCGCGCCGCCUUUUGUCAGAACUUUUUAGGCUGAAAUGCAACCUGUCAAGUCAAAUAGCCUAGGUUGCCCUAAUUUGAAGUAAUGGUGCCCAGAUCAGGUAAAGAAGUUUCUGGAUCACCCGAACAGCAAAUAGGCAGGAUCCAAAAAGUCUCAAAAGAUUCGGAUCCACUUCAGGGCGCCCAGAACAGGGUCUAGAAAUUUCAACUUGACAGAACACAGAAUUUGAGCAGUUUUUGAAUAUUUAAAAAUCCUAUUCACCUAAUCACAAGUUAGAAAUUUGUUUAAAUGAUUUAUAAGGUGAUAAAAUGAAUAGUUUAAACUUAGCUCAAAAUUUCUCACUCUAAUCAUAAGGCAAAAUAUUAAUCAAAUUAAGAAUGGAGAGAGUGAGUUUGUCUAUUUGACAAAGGAAGCAAACACAGCUUCCAGUGGUGAAGCUUGGUGCUAGAAUAUUGCCCAUCUUGAAUCCUUUUUGAAUAUAGAGAGAUUUAAAACACAAAACUCAAGAUAAAAGAUUAGUCCAAUAAUCGUAAUUAUUUGUUAUCAUUAAAAUCUAAUAGAAGAUUAGGGCCACUAGGCCAACACAUAACAUUUUGAAACCAAUAGACCUAUAGGGCUAAUGGCCCUUAUUAAUGCCGAGUCGCGGGGCUACCCUCCGGCUCGACGGAAGCUUGGCACAAGCCGUGCCGUGCUGAGCCUUCGAGCCACGAAUGCUCGGCCUAGCAUGCCCUAGAAAGUCGGCCUGGGUCGGCCUUAUGGGGCCACGGCCCAAACUGGAGUUGUACCGGGCCAGGCAGCCCACGUACCGGGCCAAGGUGCCGGCCGGCACGAACGGCCCACGUGCCGCCCGGCCUAUUUUACACCCCUAAAUAGUUUCCAUUUGAGAACCUGAUGCAAGUUGAAUAAAUAAAUUGAAUAUCUUUCUAGAAAAAUUUCAAAACUUCUCAAAGACAUAGUAGUGGUAUUUAUUUGUAGGGCUUUUUUUGCAAAUAGCUCCUUUACAAAAUUUUAUUUUAAAAUUGGCCCUGUCAAAAAUUUAUUUGCAAAAAUGGCCCUGCCCCUGCCACGCAAGCACCACGUCAGCGCCACGCGGGCGGGGCAGGAGUUUAAGUUGAACACGGUGAAUGGUUCACCGUGUCCAAUAUGAUAUUGUAUUGGACACGGUGAAUCAUUCACCGUGUUCAAUACUAAUACAGCCUUAACCAAAAAAUGACUAAGUCCUAGAUAGUUGUAUUGGACAUGGUGAAUCAUUCACCGUGUCCAAUACAAAUAUCCCCACUUAGCCAAAAAUUGGCUAAGCCGAGUUAGUUGUAUUGGGCACGGUGAAUGGUUCACCGUGUCCAAUAUGAUAUUUGUAUUGGACACGGUGAAUCAUUCAUCGUGUUUAACUUAAACUCCUGCCCCGCCCGCGUGGCGCUGACAUGGCGCUUGUAUGGCAGAGGCAGGGCCAUUUUUGCAAAUAAAUUUUUGACAGAGCCAAUUUUAAAAUAAAAUUUUAUCAGGGGGCUAUUUGCAAAUAAAGCCCUUAUUUGUAUCUCAUUUAUCAUGUUUAAUUGCAGUUUAAUAUAUCGUUUAUUUUUUUUUUUCUAUUAUGCCUCUUUUGGACCAAGUAUCUAUAUAAAACUAUCUAUCCUCAUGUCCUUAAAGUUGAUGUGGCCCAACCUCAUUAAUUUGGGGGUGUGGUCCCACCAAUUUUUUUAUUUUUUCAAAUUAAUUAAAAAAAAAUUUUAUCAUUUUUUUUCUAUGGAUAGAUCAUCAUCCCUUUAAUAUGGAGAUGUGGCUCCACUAUCCCUUAAAUUAAGAGUGUGGGUCCCACCAAUUUUUUUAUUAUUUUUUUACAAUUAAUUAGAAGUUGAAAGGUUGGAUAACUUAAUAUAUCUAAGAAUAUAAAAAGUUGAGAAUAUGAAAAGUCAUAUAUUUUAAUAGAAGAAAAUGAAAAGUCAUCUUAGAAUAUGAAAGGUCAAUUUAGAGUCUAUAUAAAGGGUUGUACUCAUACUCAUUUUGGAUAAAUAAGAAAUGAUAUACUAAAUAUUAUUUACUUUGUCUCAAGAAAAUUGACCGCAUCUGUCUGUAACGAUUAACUAUAGUUGAAAGGUUCUUUUUUUAUUUGAAUUUCAUGCUUUAUUUGUUUACUCAGAAUUUUCUACCGUAUAAUAUAAUAUAUUUUAAAUUACGUGGGAUUCGACUAUUUCAAUUGAAGUAAACUUUUUUAGAAUUUCUAUAUGCUUUUAAUAUUUUUUCUUUUAGUAUUUUGUUUACUAUGUUAUAAAUUUUUAUGUUUAUUUUUGUGUACAAAUUUUAAUGUUUCCAUUGUAUAAUGAUUUGAUUUGUUUACAAAUCAUAGUGUCUCAAUUGUAUAAUGAUUUGAUUGUAUUGAAAGUUUUGAUGAAUUUAUUUAUAUUAGGAUUUAGAAUUUUUGAAAUGAUUAAUUAUUACGCAGCCUAAUGCCGUACUUAGCGCAAUCUAAUGGAUAUGUUGAAAUUUGUUUGCUAAAUAUAUUUUCUGUUGUUUCUGAUUAAAUCUACACGCCACUAGCUAUAUAAUAAGACAUGUAUACAAAGUUGUUGGAAAUAGAUAUGUACCUAUCGUGAUGCUUCAGUAUAAAAAAUUGAAAUGUUUUAAAAAGAAAUCUUUAUACUUUUCAAUAUAUUUUAAAACUAUUAAAACUUUUAAAGUAAAUAUGUUUUACUCUCUACAAAAUAACUUAUAGAAAUAUAAAAAUUUAAAAUUUAAAAUUUAAAUUUUAAAAAAUUAUAAUAUAUCUAUCUAUCGCAUCGUGCGGGUCACUACACUAGUGUUUAUGUGUCUUCGUUAUUGUUGUUUUCCCACAAGUCCUUCGACUUUCGCUGAUGGUAUCGCGAAGUAGCUAGUACUAUCCUGGCCGUUGCCUCAUUUUCGUUUAAUUACCAAACAAAAAUUGCAGUUGAUUUUGUUUAUUUUGAGAAGUGUGCUCAUAGUUGUAUUAAGAAUGAUGAGGUUUAUAACUUAGAAGUUACUGUUUUGGUUUACACAUGUUAUGUAAAUCAAUAAUUGCAUAGUUAGCGGCUCACGGCUUUGGGUGGACAGAAGAGGUUCUGUCUAUGUGGCGGGUCUAUCGUGGUCUCGAUAUAGAGGGCUUCCAUUGCUCGAGCCUCAUGAAAGAGCCCGAAGCAUCAAAGACAAAAACGAUCCAUAAAGGCUAGUAAAAUAAGAAAUCCGAUCCGCUUCCUGAAUACAAUGGCUAUCUAAUUUGUAAAUAUCUACCUACCGCCUAAUUUAUCCGGCACCUUAAAAACCAACCAUCAAGUCUUCUACUUAAAUUUUUCAAACAUAAUCAAAAGAUGGUAAAAAAAACUCUUUACCAAUAUGAUAUACGACACAAUUAAUCAGCUUUCAGAUUAAUGAUCAAUUAAAUAAACUUGAAAAUGCAUAAAAUGGUAUCAGAAUUUAAAUACGAUACACAACAUGCUUACCCACGUUUAAACCACCUUUUGCUUUUUUCAUUUCAUCGCCUGCCAAAAAUACCUUCAUCUAAUUAGCUAAACCCUAGUUCAUUAAACUACCUUUUUGCUUUUCUCAUUCCAUCACUUACGGAAAAGGCCUCAUCUAAUUAGCUAAAUCUUAAUAAGGCCCCAUUUGGCCGGGGAACAACCUGGGAACAAGUUUGUUACCAAGUGAGAACAAACUUAAUUAAAAUCUAAAUUUAAUUUUAAUUAUAGUAUUAAAUGAUUAAUUAAUUUAAUUAAUAUAUUUCAAUUAUUAUCUAUUGUUUAAAUAAUUAAGUAAUUAAUUAUAAUUAAGUAGCUAAUUAAAAAUUAAUAAUUUAAUGUGUUUAUCCAUAAACCAAUAUUUAUAUAGAUCAACCAUUAAUAUUUUGACUAAUAUAAUUAAUUUCUUUAUUAAUUAUCUAACUAAAAUAAUUUACUAACUAAUUAAAAAAUUAAAUUAUUUUUUACAGUUAAUUAAUUAAUUAAUAUGUUUUUAUUAUUUUAUACAAUAUUAAUAGCUAAUAAAUUUAUUAAUUUAUUAAAUUAUUUUUAAUUAAUAUUUUGAUGUUAAUUAAUUAGAUAAAAUAUUUUUGAUUUAAAAUUAUAACUCUUAUUCCUCCUUUAUUCAAAUUUAACAAUUCAAACACUAUUUACCUUAUUUACGAGAAUAAUCUAAUUUUUAUUUAAAUACAAAAUUGAUAUAGUUCAUGCUUAUAUCCGAACUAGUAUUUAUUCAUAAAAUAAGCCGUUCUUAUUUAUACUUGAACAGCCUAAGUUCAUUAGUUUAAAGCUCUCUUGUGAAGUAUUGAAGCUAAACACUGAUCACUUCAUUGAAGUAACAAUUUUCUAUCAUCAAAAUAACAAAUAAAUACCUCAAAUCUGAUUCGAAUAAAAUGGGUACAUGAGCAAAAUAAAUAGGCCUGCUGUCUUUCCUCCUGGGCAAUUUGUAACUUGUGGCAGUGCUCUAGAUUUUCUCUUAAUAGAAAUAUUGGAGAUUGUUACUGUGCAACCUGAGAAAGGAAAGUCGGAAAAUGCUUAGAAAAAAGUUAGGAAAGUAUCAAUGAUACCCAACUAGUAGGCAUCUAAAGGGCUGUUUUGUUGCAUGCAUUUCCAACUGCAAUGCAGUUGGAAAUGCAUGCAUUUAUUAAAUCUUGGUUUGGUUUGGUUUAGUGUAGUUAGACUCUGCAGUUGCAUCUGCACGAGAAGACCCAACUGCAGCAGUUGAGCCGAAAUCGGUUCAUCCAUUAAAAAAAUAAAUAAAGUGAUUUUUUUUUUCAUACGCAUGUUUUUUUACUUUUGUUUUUCAAAAAUACCUAUUUAUAAAACCUGCUAGGAUUUUAAUAAUGUUUGUUAGGAUACAAUAAAAUUUUUUAAUACGCUUCUUUUUUUAAUUUUUUUUUCAAGAAUACCUAAUCACGAAAUCUACUAGGAUUUAAUAAUGUAUGAUAAGGUUCAAUAAUUUUUUUUUUUUCAUACGCUGCAUUUUUUUCCAAUUUGCUAGUUCAAUAAUACCUUAAUUUUUUUUUGACUAAAUUUAUAAUGUAUUUGUAUUUAAAAUUCAUUAAAUUCAUAUAUAAUUUUAUAAUAUAUAAAUUAUAUAUAGAUAUAAAAGUUUUAAUCAAUAAUUAAAAGAUCUCAUAAUUAUGCUAUGUUCAGAAGAGGUAAUCUCAUAUUUCUAUCUAAAAAUUGACAAAGUUUACAAAUAGAAAUCUCAACUGCAGCCUACCAAACAAAAGAAAUGUAACUGCAGCAGUAGCAACUGAAUAAAGCCAAACAGACAAGGUAAAAUUAUUACUGUAAUAUUUGUAACUGUAUGUAUUUUCAACUAUUUUUAUAAUAGAAUCCAACCAAACGGUCCCUAACAGUAGUUCGUACCAUGGGGUAGGAAAUUUGUCGUUCAUGAAUCCAAUGAGAAUGAAUAGGAACAUCAAACCUCAGGAACAAGAAUCCGUUAGCCCUUUGUGCCCUCCACACCCGAGUUGCACGGCGGAAAUUCACCAUUUCAAAUAUAAAUUAGAGCAUUCACAAAAUGCUACGACAGCCCUUAUAAAGAAAAUAGUAGAUAAGUGAAAGUAAAAAGAUUCAAAAUCAAUUGACUCAGGAAACUAGAACAUGAACUAAGAAAAGAUAAUAUUGUAGUUGGUGUUACCAAACCCUACAUUACAGUAUGUCAUAUAGCAAUCAAAGUGCCAACAAAAUAUGGCCGAGCAACUCAUUUCUUCUCUUCUUUUAUUGCGAUGUGGAUGCAAAAUAAAAAGUUACUUCACUAGCAUCUUGACAACAGCACGAAUUCAAUUAGAAUAGAGAAAUAUUUGUACAUUCAAAUAUGGGACAUAAAUCUUACAUACAACCCAUCCAAAAGAUUUAUACAAUUCUUUAAGCCUCCGUUUGGUUCGGGAUUAAGAAAAAAUUAGUUAUUCCAGGAAUAGAGUUAAAUUCAGGAUUAAAAUGAGAUUAAAAUUUUUUUGUGUUUGAUUGGGGAUUGGAGUUAGUCUAGAAUAAUAAAAAAUAGUGUUUGGUUGGAAUAGGUGGGAUAAAAAGAUAAUGAUUGAUAAAAAAGAAUAAUGAUUGGUUUGAAUAGGUGGGAUAAGAAAAUAAUGAUUGAUAAAAAAGGAUAAUAAUUGAUUGGAGUAGAUGGAAUAAGAAAGAUAAUGAUUAAUAAAAAUAAUAAAAUUACUAAAAUAACCUCAUUAUAAUCAUUUAAAAUAAAUAUUUUAUUUAUGGUUUUAAAUAUUCUAUGCUUUGCGAGACGUGCGGGGAGGNGGGGUGGGGUUUACUACCCCACCCCUAAAUGCUUGCGUUUGGGGAUUAAAUGGGGGUUAAGGGGUUAUUCCACCCCUUAACCCCCCACGAAACGCAAGCUAAAACUUUUGAGUAUUAAAAAAAUAAAAGUGCUGAUUAGAUUAAUUUGAAAAUUUGGACAUCAUAUGAUGCGAAAUUUACACCCACCAAUAUUUGGGUGUACGGCACAUUAGAAUAUGCUGGCCAAAAGAACUUGGCAGUAGUGAAUAAAAGCUAAGAAGAUGUGGGACUAAUUUGCAGAAAUGAAUAUUACACGCUAGCUAGCGGCUGCAAUUGAAUUUCAAUUUCAAUUUCAAUUUCAAUUUCCUUCUCGGCUGAAUAAUAAAAAAUAAAAAGUAAAUGGGAAAGAAGAUUCAAUUCUUCAAACUAGGUACCUGGCAGAUUCAGCACUGUACUGUACGAAAAUUCAAACAAAAGAAUCGAGAAGAAUCGUCAAAACUCCGUCAGGCACGCACUCUAGCGCGAACCAGCUACUGCACUUGCGCUCACUGCUAAGGUUCUCCGCAGCAGUAACGCCUUGCUCCUCUCUGCAUCAAAAUCAUCCAUUUCAGUAUCAGCAAUACAGCAGCGCUCCUCUGAUCCAUGCUCAGGCUCAUCAUCGCCAGCAUCCGAGAGGGCCGAAUAGUCGUCUCUCAUCAGCAGCACAUUGUGGAGGAUCGCGCACGUGCCGAUGCACGCCGCGGCCACCUUGGGGUUCUCUUCCUCCGCUAGGUGGCUGAGUACGCCCCAGUUCCUGAGGCUGGCGAGCACCCUGCGCACCGGACGACACAGGGACCGGUGCACCGCAUUGAAGCCCUCCUCGUCGGACCCGCGCUCAGCACUGGCAAACGGAACCAUCAGCCACGGAAGCAGAGGGUACGGGCCGUCUCCGACCAAGUACUGGGUUGAGCCCAGAAGGCGCCCGCCCUGUAAAUCUUUGCAGAGAGAAGAGCGCCUUAGAACAGCAAAAUCGGUGCGGUCGCCGCGGAACCCGGCGGCGAUGCUGAGAAUGCGAGCGGAGGCAUCGGCCACGAUCUGGGCGGCGACCGUGCCGGUCGGGGCGUCGAAGCGCGCGCAGGACAAGGCGCCGCAGCAGCCGGGGAGGCCGGGGUGGGGGUGGGGCCCGACGCCGCUGAGGGAGCGGAAGGCGGCGGAGAUGGGGAGGAGGUCGGGAGGGGACGAAGGGAAGGCGAGGUAGAACCGGAAGUUGGUGCAGAGGACUCGGCAGAGGCGCUUAGUGAAGAAGCGGGCGGCGCGCUCCGUGACGCCGAAGCGGCGGGCUAGGUCGGGGUAGGGGGAGCCGGAGGCCAGGCGGGCGAGNCUUCGGCACCGGCGGAGGCACGGGAUCGCGGCAAGGGUGUCGCGUAGCUAGCCGGGAGAGUUUCUUUUGCGCUAGGUGGUCGCUUCUUCUCCAUUUUAUAUUUUGAGAGAGAGCGUGAGGCUUUUGGUUUCCAUGUAUAGAGAGACCACCUGUGUACCUACUUUUAGCACUUGUUAUGGAAUCCCUACUGUACUUACUUUAUGUUUUAUUUGGUGGAUUUACAGUUUUAACUUUAUCCCUUGUUGUAGCAAUUAGACAUUUACUAUGCUCUGAUACUCCUAGAUGUAUUGUAUUAUUGCUUUUAUUAUUGUUGUUUUUUUAGACGCCUUAUAUGUUGUAGACAUAUGGCGGGUCUGGGCACGCGCCGGGCGGGCUUCCGCUGGGUCCCGGGGCGUGACAGUACCGGUACGCGUUGAUGGCUGUACCGGUACAGCCAUCGGCCCUGGCAGCCAGUGUGCCAACCCGAGGCUCGGGUUGGUCUGGUUCGUGGGAUGUGUACCGGUACACAAACCCGUGUACCGGUACGCAGUGCAGUUUGGGCUAUUUCGUGGAGGGGUGUUUUUACAAUUGUUGCAACCUCUUUAAAUAUCACCCCAGCCCCCAUAGCUGCUCUUUUUUAGCCCUAACCAGUGGAGAACAAGGUGAGACUCUUCCCCUUUGAUUUCUUCUCCAUUUUUGGUGGAUUUCGGUUGGUUUUGAUCUCUCAUCUCUUCUCCACCUUGCUUUUUGUUUGUUUCCUCCAUUGUUGAUGACUUGGAGCUUGGAGAGGAGCUUGUUUGAGAGGAGAUCUUCAACUCCACUUGGCUUGGAGCUUGGUUUUACGCAUCUUGUGAGGUUAGUAUACUUAAUCUCCCUUUUGGAUCAAGUUUUGUAGUUUCUACUUGUUGGAAAUCCUAGAUUUUGGAUUUUAGGGUUAGAAAUGGGGAUUUUGGAUUUGUAGCUCCUAGAAUCAAAUUGAUUGGUUUAGAACUUUGAUUUAGGUUGGAUUUGAAGGACUCUAGCUCCCUUUUGGAGAUCGAAAGAGAUUCCUUCGCGUACGGUGAGUUUUCUCCACCUUAGCUUGGAUAACAUAAUGUUUGAGCUUAGCUUUGUUCGUAAGGUUCGUUUAACUCUUGGUUCUACACCUCUAGGGUGCUAGAAGACUAGUGGACACCUUCGUCGGAGCAAACGAAGGAGUUGCGAGACUUUGGUGGGUUUGGCUUCAUUGAAAUGGGAGGAAAUGCCUCCUAUAUGGUUAAAUAUUUUUGUAUACUAUAAAUACAUGCAUAUUCAUGCUAAAUGGAAUUUAUGUGAAUUUUAGAGCGCUUAAAACCCCUCUGUUAAGCAUCAUGAUAAAGAUUGACUCUAUGUUGUAGAGAGAAGCAUAUGCAUUGUUAGUAUGCAUGAGUUUAAUGUUUUAAUGAAUGAUGUAAGAUCAUGUUUCUUGUGUUGAAAAUGAUUAGAAUGACAAGCUUUUAGACUUAUUAUUUAUAUUGGGACAUAGUAAGCAAAAGUGUCAUAAAGGGGCACUUGAACUAGAAAAUCGUUGAACUACAACUUAGAGACAUGAUGAUAGACCACUGGAAAUCUGCUAUAUUCCAUGUUUUAGACAUAAUGACUUAGAGAUAGGCCAUUGAGACAGUUACUAUAUUCCGUGUUUUAGACACAAUGACUUCGAGGCAUGCCUUUGGGACAUGUGCUGUGUUCUGGGUUUUAGAUCCGAUGAAACAGUGAUGAACCAGUGGGACCUGAGACGGACUUAUUCGCUUGCAUGCCAUUGUGCUCAUUCGCACGUACUUGUGAGGGUCGCUCCCUACAAGUCGGCACUCCGGAGAUAGCCAUCGCGACAUAUGCUCGCCCGUGCGGGAUUGGGCGCCAAAAUGGGAUGCCGUGGGAGAGGCUCAUUCCUAGAGGUGGGAUGUUGACUACCACGGGGCCAUUGUUGGCACGACGCAGGCCGGACUACCUACGGGUAGCUUCCACAAGAUUAGGUUACUGGUGACAUAUUGUACCUCUUGGACAUUAACUAGAAUAGUAAACAAUGACAUCUUUACUAUUUACAUUGUGGACAUUGGGUUAGUUGCAUACUUAUGCAUUUACAUGUUGGAUACUCUUGUGCACAUGCUUGUAGUAGUUACUUUCUUACUUAUGCAAAUUCCUGCUAAGUAGAGAUUAUGUGAUAGUUUAUUACUUAUGCAAAUCCAUGCUAAGUAGAGAUCAUGUGGUAGAUUAUUACUGAUGAAAGUAGUGACUUCAUGCUAUAUUGAGCUUCCAUUUCAGCGAGUUAUUUGUUCAUAUUAUUCUUACUUGCCUUACUUACCUUACUUGCUUAGUUUUGGGCCUAGUGGUGCAUUUCACUGAAGUCAGUAAUUGCCCACUGGGAACUAUUAUUUAAUACUUCUCACGCCCUCUGUUUUAUGUUUUUCUUUCAGAGCCCUCUGCACCGGCGGAGGCACAGGACCGCGGCAAGGGGAUCGCUAGCUAGAUAGCGAGGAUUCACUUUUACUCUUAGGUGGUUUUUCCUCUUUUUAUGUUUUGGGUGAGCGAGGGAUUUUGUUUACCAUAUAUAGAGACCACCUAUGUACUCUGUUGGCACUUGUAUUUGGAUCUUGGUUUUACUACUUUAUGGUUUAUUAGUGCUUUUAGCUCUCUACUCUUCACUUUGCUUUAGUCUCUAGAUAAUGUAUAUUGCUCUGAUACUUCUAGAUGUUUUCUUCUAUUGUCUCUUUUAUCGUUUUGUUUUAGACGCCUUAUAUGUUUUAGACGUAUGGUGGGUCUGGACACGCGCCGGGCGGGCUUCCGCUAUGCCCCGGGGCAUGACAAUCUCGCGAGCCAAGAUCUUCACGGGUUGCUCCUCGAAGCUCAAGUCCUCCCGCAACUCUAAAGGUGUAGCAUCCAACACGUGAGUCGUGUCGAAGAUGUACUUGCAAGGACCAAUACAUGAAAGACGUUGUGCACGCCCGAUAGGUUCGGUGGUAGAGCAAGUCGAUACGCUACCGGACCUACACGCUCCAAAACCUCAUACGGUCCAAUGAAACGAGGGCUCAACUUACCCCGCAUUUCGAAUCUCUUGAUCCCUCUAGUCGGCGAGACCUUCAAGAAAACAUGGUCUCCAACUUGGAACUCCAAGUCUCGCUGUCGUCGGUCGGCGUAGCUCCUCUGUCUACUCUGCACUGUUAAAAGUCGCUCCUGAGCAAUUCGAACUUUAUCCUCAGCUUCCUGGAGCACAUCUGGUCCCAAAGCCAAUCUGUCGCCAAUUUCACUCCAAUGAAGUGGCGAUUUACACUUCCGUCCAUAAAGUGCUUCGAACGGUGCCAUCUUGAUGCUUGCUUGAUAACUAUUGUUAUAAGCAAACUCCGCCAUAGGUAGAUGCUGCGACCAUCUUCCCUGGAAGUCUAUCACACAUGCUCGGAGCAUAUCCUCUAAAGUCUGUAUGGUGCGCUCCGACUGCCCAUCACUCUAAGGGUGGAAAGUAGUGCUAAAAUCCAGUCGAGUGCCUGGGGCGACCUGUAGACUCCUCCAAAAGUGAGACACAAACCGGAUGUCUCGAUCUGAUAGAAUCGACGUGGGCACUCCGUGAAGUCGCACAAUCUCAUCAAGGUACACUUGUGCGAGCUUCUCCCCAGUCCAAGUAGUAUGAAUAGGUAUGAAGUGCGCCGACUUCGUCAACCUAUCCACGAUCACCCAAAUAGCAUCAUGCCCGGCCUGAGAGCGAGGCAAUCCAGUCACGAAAUCCAUGGUGAUCUUCUCCCACUUCCACACGGGAAUAGGCAAACUCUGAUGUUUUCCCGCGGGAACUCGAUGCUCGGCCUUUACUUGUUGGCAAGUUAGACAACGAGUUACAAACUCGCCAACAUCCUUUUUCAUCCCGGGCCACUAAUAAAGCAACUUUAAAUUCUUAUACAUCUUGGUGCCUCUUGGAUGUAUAACGUAGGGCUCUCGAUGCACUUCUUGAAGAAUGUCCUCUUUAAUUCCUGAAUCCGCCGGUACACAAAUCCGUCCACAGAAACGCAUCAAUCCUUAGUCAUCCACAAGAAAAUCGCUGGUGCAACUAUCAACCAUUUUACCUUUAAUCUUUUGCAACUCCACAUCGGAAGCUUACUUUUCUUUAAUUCAAUCUAAAAGUGUAGGUUGCACCACCAACGUCAUCAACCUCAAAGGCGUGUCAGGAGUCACCACCUCCAACUCUAACCGCUUCAUCUGCUCGAUCAACUGCGGUUGAGUAACAACAUGCAUCGUUAAGUUUUCCGUUGAUUUCCUACUUAGCGCAUCCGCCACCACGUUAGCCUUGCCCGGGUGGUAUAGAAUCGUCAGGUCGUAAUCCUUGAGCAGCUCCAACCAUCUGCGCUAUCUCAGGUUCAACUCUUUCUGAGUGAAUAAGUACUUCAAACUCUUGUGAUCCGUGUAUACUUCACACCGCUCGUCAUACAAGUAGUGGCGCCAUAAUUUCAAGGCGAAGACUACGGCCGCCAAUUCCAAAUCAUGCGUCGGAUAGUUCUUUUCAUAAUCCUUUAGUUGGCGCGAAACAUACGCGAUCACUUUGCCAUCCUGCAUCAACACACAACCCGAUCUAUUAAGUGAAGCAUCACUAUAAACCACAUACCCUGCUCCAGCCAUCGGCAGGGUUAGGAUCAGGGCGGUCGUCAAUCUUUGCUUCAACUCUUGGAAGCUUCUCUCGCAUGCAUCAUUCCAAAUGAACUUGACUCCUUUUUGCGUGAGUCUCGUGAGGGGAGUAGAUAACUUAGCAAACCCCGCGACAAAUCUACGGUAGUACCCGGCCAAUCCAAGAAAACUCCGAAUCUCCGUGACGCUCGUCGGUCUCGGUCAAUCCCUAAUAGCCUCAAUCUUCUUGGGAUCCACCGCAAUACCUGAUCCCGAAAUCAGAUGCCCAAGGAAAGCUACCUCUCGAAGCCAAAAUUUAUACUUUUUCAGCUUUGCAAAAAGCUCCUUUUCCCGAAGUACUUGAAGUACAAGUCUCAAAUGUUCCUCGUGAUCUGCAUCACUCCGGGAAUAAACCAAAAUGUCGUCGAUGAACACCACGACAAAUCUGUCCAGGUAAGCCUUAAAAAUACGGUUCAUCAGAUCCAUAAAAGCUGCCGGGGCGUUCGUAAGCCCGAACGGCAUCACUGUGAACUCAUAAUGUCCAUACCGUGUUCUAAAAGCCGUCCUCGAUACAUCCUCGGGUUUAAUCUUUAACUGGUGAUAUCCCGUCUGCAAAUCGAUCUUGGAAUACACACACGAUCCCUGAAGCUGAUCAAACAAGCCGUCGAUCCUCGGCAACGGAUACUUGUUGUUGAUUGUGACUUUAUUAAGUUCACGAUAAUCCACACAUAGGCGAAGUGAUCCGUCCUUUUUCAUGACGAACAAAAUUGGCGCUCCCCACGGUGAGACGCUCGGUCGAAUUAAGCCCUUGUCCAACAGAUCCUGUAGCUGUGCCCUCAGCUCCUUCAGCUCCGCCGGUGCCAUCCUAUGGGGUGCCUUCGAGAUUGGGGUAGUCUCAGGGACGAGAUCUACCACAAACUCGAUCUCCCUAUCGGGUGGCAUACCCAGUAGCUCAGCUGGAAACACGUCCUGGAACUCCCGUACCACCGGGAUAUCCUUAAUCCUAGGGGUGUCAUCCUCGCCCCUCAACACAACACUAGCCAAGUAGGCUACACAUCCUCGGCUGAUCAGCUGCCUAGCUCGAGACGAGCUGAUCGACAUCGUAAAAAGCAAACUCCGGCAUCCUCUAAAUAUCACCUCAACUUGCCCCGGUUCUCUAAAAGUAACCGUGCGAUUCUUGCAAUCAAUCGUGGCAUAAUACUUGGUUAACCAAUNAAUAAGUUCAAUUCUAUCUGAUAGUAAGAUAUGAUAUGUUCCUUAUCUAUAUCAUUACCAAAACUCCUUUCGAUGGCUCAAAACUUAUUGUGAUUCUACACUAUUAAAGAAUAAUCAAUCAUCUUUAUUUAUUUGUAUUAGUUCCUACACUUCGCUAGUAACACUUAGUAGUAGUGGCAACCCAGUGCAAAGUGAAUAUCGAACUGAACCUUUAGGUAAUAGUUACCAUACGAUACAAUCCAUCUAUCGCAUAAUUCCGACUAAAUGGACAUCAUGAAAUACUCAUCAAGUCCCAUCACCAUUAAAUGAUAGAUUUGAUAGGACAAAAUCUCUUAUGCUUACCCUUGAAAAUCCCUUUCCGUUCACUAUGUUAGUUUGGCCGAGGUUUUGUCAGCUUUGCCCUACAAAUAGAACAUAACUAAUGAUCUCUCGACCAUAAGCUCACUGUAGCCAACUUAUACAUACUAAGAUCCAUAGCUAGGAUUAGAGUUUGUAGUUGUCACGCCAGAUUCCUCGUUUCCCCGGGCACGCUAACAGACCCGUCGUAUACAAAAGAAUUUUUCCUGUAUACAAAGCGAAGCUGUGCAUGUACCUGUAAUCAUACAAUACUACAACCAGUAGUAUAGACCUGCUAGAAAAGAACAAAACAUAAAUAAAAUCAGAAGUUCACUAUACAUACAUAACAUCUAGGUGUACAAAAUGCUCGCUCCAGCGAGAUACAACAUAAGUAUGUAUAAGAACUCAAAACUACCACUACCUGUAGCUGGUAUACUCUAGAUCAGCAGCAACUAGGAAGGGAUCUAACUCGCGACUCCCUUUCCACGAUCAAAAUCCGCAGUAGCGACAGCCGCAACCGAAGACUCUGCAAAAUAUUUCAACAACUGGAUGUGAGAACUACUGCAAAAAUAAGUAGUCCUCAGUGGGUACCGCCCUCAAACUCAUCGGCUUACCCACCAAGUCUACGGAUGCAUGCUCAAAUGAUAGUAAGGAAACUGAAAAUAAUCUACAACUACAUGCCACUAUACUAUCAUCAUCCGACACUACUAUUGUAACACACUGGACUUUUACAAAUUGUAAGGUUCAAGUGUUUGAUUUGUGUUUUGAGCUUUUCCACACUUUCUGGAGGGUCGUAGACAGUGUUCUGACCUAUGGCUUGCAUCCCGAGAAUGGAGGUUUAAAACUUUGCACCAAAACUUAAAAAGACGAAUUUUUGGUUUACUCUUGGGUUUGCCUCAGCAGAGCUGUGUACCGGUACAGCCUUGAUGGUUGUACCGGAACAGAUUUUGUAUCAGUACACCUUGAUGGUUGUAUCGGUACAAAUGCGAUUUUUCAGCCAACCCGAGCCUCGAGUUUGCGUGUAUAGGGUUUUGUACCUGUACACUUUCCUGUGUACCGGUACUGUAACACACUAGACCUGUGCAAAUUGCGAUGUUCGAGUGUUUGAUUUGAGUUUCGAGCUUUUCCACACCUUGUGGAGGGUCGUAGACGGUGUUCCGACCUGUAGUUCGAAAUUCUAGAUUUUUGGCUAAGUCCUGAGAGUUUUACUCUCGGGGACCGGUCCCUAGUGGGAGAGACCGGUCCCCCGUCGCGUGGUUGCGGCUGUCGGCCGAGGCAACCGGUCCCUCAGCCAGAGAGACUGGUUCCCGAACGUGUGUUUUGAGGGAGGGUUCGAGAGACCGGUCCCAGGUGUGGGGAGACUGGUCCCUCCACCCGAAAAUUGCCCAGACCUGGCAGUGUACAGGUUGCAAUGUUGAGGGGCUUUUCUAGAUUUUGUUACUUUAGAGGGCUUUCAUGGCUUUUCCUCUCCCUCUCUCCCUCAUUUCUCCCCCUCACACUCUCUCUUACACUCCCUAGAAAGAGAAGAAGAAGGAGAAAGAAGGAAGGGAAGAAGGAGGAGAAGAGGAAGGAGAGCUUGCUUGGUGGACUUUGGUCUUCCCCCACGCCCUCUCUUCUCACCAUUGGUGGCUUGGAGCUUGGGCUAGAAGCUUGAUUGAGGAUCAACCUUCAAUCCUAGAGCAUUUUGAGCUUGGUUUGGAGCUACCAAGGAGGUUAGUAUGCUUAAUCUACUCUUUGGAGCAUGUUUUGGUAGGUUUUACCAAAUGAAACCCUAGCUUUGGAUUUUAGGGUUAGAAUUGGGGAUUUUUAAUUUGAGGGCUUUGGAAUCUAAUUGAUUGGUUUAGAACCUUGGUAUAGAUUGCUUUGGAAGGGAUUUGGUUUCUAUUUGGGAUUUCUUAGAGAAUUUCUACGCUAUAGGUGAGUUUUCUCUACCUUAGCUAGAGUUGGUUAAUGUUUGAGCUUUGGGAUGUUCGUAAGGUUCGUUUAACUCUUGUUCCUACAUCUUUAGGGUGCUAGGAGACUAGUGGGCACCUUCAUCAGAGCAAACGAAGGGUCGCAAGAGUUGUUGUGGGUUUGACUUCAUAAAAUCAGGGCGAAAUGGCCCCUAUGUAUUUUAUACUUGUCGUAACAUCAAUUUCAUUGCAUAUUCAUUCUAAAUGGGAUUUAUGUAAAUUUUAUAACACUUAAAAUGCAUGUGUUAUGUGUAAGAUAAAUUUCACUCUAUAUAGUAGAGCAUUCUGGGUAUUAUAUAUGCAUGUGAGAAGUGUUUAUGGUAGCGAAUUGGAAACUUGUCUCGUAUGUUUAAAAUAGCUCAAAUUAUGCAUUUGUGAACAUUUGAUUUAAGCUUGGACUUAGUGAACAAAAAUGCCAUCAAGGGGCACUUGACUUAGUAGGCUAUGAAACUGCUACAUUGAGACAUAAUGAUAAGCCAUUGACAUAUAUUACUUUUCAUGUUUUAGACAUGAUGCCAUAGAGAUAGGCCAUUAAGACAUUCGAUAUGUUAUAUUCCAUGUUUUAGACAUGAUGACUUGAGACUUGAGACGGAUCUCACGCUUGCUUGCCAUUGUGCUCAUUCGCACACGCUUGUGAGGGUCGCUCCCUACAAGCCGGUACUCCAGAGAUGGCCAUCGCGAUACAUAUUCGCCGUGCGGGAUUGGGCGCCGAAGUGGAUUGCCGUGGGCAAGACUCAUUCCUAGAGUGGGGAUGUUGACUAUCACGGGGCCAUUAGGCUCGGCACCGGCGAGACAGCCUACGGGUGGGUCUACAGACCAGACAGCCUUCGGGCGGGUCUUUCAAGAUUUAAUUUUAAGUAGUUAACAUGCCAAGUGAAUAUUGACUAGAAUAAUAAAUAAAGACAUUUUACUAUUACAUUGGGGACAUUACGAUUGUAACAUACCGAAACUUCGGUAAUUAAAUUUGAACCUUAGUCAGAUUAACCAAAGUGCGAGGUUGGUAUACUUCGGAAAAGCCAAAGGCGUCGAAUAAUGCAAAAAUGCAUUACUGGGGAUCUUCGAGAGCUCUGGAAUCAAAAUCUGCAAAACUGCAGGUUUUGUGCACUCGGGGACCGGUCCCUAGUGGGAGAGACCGGUCCCCGAACGCGUAGGCAGCGAGAUGGCCGAAAAAUCGGCUAAGUCCUGAAAACCCAGCUCUCGGGAACCGGUCCUUGCGAGGAGAGACCGGUCCCCAGAGACCGGUUCCAUUGAGGGAGACCGGUUGCAUCGCGCGCAGCCUCCGCAGACCGCGGGAGAAGCUCUCCAGGACCGGUCCCUGGUCGGGGAGACCGGUCCUUCACUGCGAAAAAUGCCCAGUCUGGGCAGUGCACAAGGGAAAUAGUGGGAGGACCUUGUUGUAAUUGUUACAACACCUUAUAUACUCAACCUUUCUUCCUUUCCUCAGCCAUUUUUCACCCUCCUCUCAUUUCCUCUUCUCUCUCUCUCUAGAACUCACCUAGGGCUUGAAGGAGAAGAAGAAGAACUUGGAGAAGGUGGAGUUUAGGGUUUUUGUGGUCCAAGGAGCUGACCUAUAAGAAGGAGCUUGGUGGAGCUUGGGCAAGGUGAGGUUUUGGUUCAUGAGAGUUUAGGGUUUGAAUUUUAACCCAAAGUUGUAGGGUUUUGAGUUUAUUUCUAGCUUUAGAACCCUUGUUGAGCUAAGAAACUAUGAAAUCCAUGGUUUUCUUGUAGAGCUCUCAUGGUGGAUCACUAGGGCUCAAAGUAGAUGCCCUAAGAUUGGUCCAAGAGGCUUGGAAACUUUAUUAGAAUGCUUCUUAGAUGAUUCUAAGCUAUCUUUUGCUUAGGGAAGAGAUUAAUCUAGGAGCUAUUGCUAUAGAGCAUUGUUAGGGCUCAAAUUUGGGGCUUUCGCCCUAGGAUUUUUCGUGGGCGAAUUGAUCUCGUAGAAACCUAAUUGGGGGUGUCUUCGACGCGUUGGACAAUUCUGUUCGACGUUACGAAAAUGUUUAAGUAUAGUUCAUAUACAAAGGGCCUAAUAUGGCACUAUUUUGGCUGUAGGAUGCGGAAUCGGCUUUCGUAAAGUUCGGAAGUCGUCAUAUUCUACACCUACACGACCACGCGAGGUGGGGGGUGCAUUCCGGAAUCGUUGGAUUCCCUUCUAUGUCUAUGUCACUUUUCAUUUGAGCAUAUUGUAUAUAGUCGUUCAUGCAUAUUAGGGUUGCUUACAUGUGAAUUUUGGUGUAACUUUAUUUAUGUGCUUAUAAUGUAGUUGGAUAUAAAGAAUGAUAGAACCAUAAUGGACGUGUAUGCUAGAACCCUAGAGAUGUAUGAAUAGGAGACUUGGAUCUUGAUCUUAGUAAACAAAUGUGACAUUGACUAUAGAGACAAGAUUGGCAUUGAGAUAGUGAUUGUAAACACAGUUUAAUCAAGAGUGGCAUGAAUAAAUAGGUAGAAAACCUAUUAUGAUAGUGGCAUUGUGACUAGUAGCUAUACGUUCCCGAGUUGGGAAUUGGAUCAAUACUCACGAUAAGUCUUGGCUUGAGGGCGGUAGCUCCCCCUCAAGCGGUGCGCUCCGGAGUAGGUCACCACGGGGAUAGUGGCCCCGAAGGACGGUCCCUCGAGUGGAAGUGCUCGAAGCCUCCUCGAUCAAAAGGAAUUUUGGGUUGUGAGUCAUUGGGGUUAACAAAAUUAACCGGUAAGAUUGGGUAAAAGCCAAAGGAAAGUAUCGAACAAGCAUGCAUGCAUAGUUAUUGCUUUCAUAUCUAUAUCCGCUGACAUCUUUCUUGCAGGCAUAGUAUUAGCAUUAGUUUGGCUACUAUUUUCUUUCCGUUGAAAUACUUUUGCCUGAAAUAGACCUAGUGGGUAAGUCGGCGAGGUCGGUUGCCGAACCCACUGGGAAUUUCGUUGUAGUUCUCACACCACUAACCCUACAAGUUCUAGCACGAGCGGGGCAGCGGAGGACCGAAGCAAGGGUUUAGCGCCGUAGAUAGCGGUCACCGGGACCAUUUCACAUUUUGUAGUCAUUUUCCUUUUGGUUUACAUGUAUCAACUUCUUUUGUUGAUUUAGAAAGUUGUAAAGUUGAAAACAAAUAUGUAAUUUGGUGAAUGGCUAAAUGUAAAGAGUUAUGAAUGAAAGAAAAGAAAUGUGAUGGUUCAGUUUACUUUUAUUUGGUUCAAAUAUAAUCAAGUAUUAUAUAUGGUUGAAUAUAUUAGCUUAGAGCUUUCGCUUCCGUUGUUGCUUGCCCUCGUGCAAGCCUUGUAUAAAUGCUAAUCUCAUUGUUUUAUUGUUUUAUUAUGCAUGUUUUAGAGCCUUGGGCGGACAGGGGAGGCUCUGUCCGUUCGGCGUCUGUUGACUUGACCCGAACCCGACCAAAUUGGCGGGAAUUGGGGCGUGACAGAUAUAAUGGUAUCAGAGCGAAGUUGAAAGCAAAAGUUUAGGAAGGACCUAAGAAACCCUAGGAAUUGGAGACCUUAGGAGCUUAGGAAACGUUUAACGUGGAUUUGGCUUAUGCGAAAGCUAAUGAUUGGGUUAAUGAUAAUACUUCUCUAGAAGGAAUUAGAGAUGAAUUCAAGUACUUAGUUGUUUUCUUCUUAAGGGAUCUUGUGGGGCGGCCGACCACAUAACACCGAGAGUUGGAAAUAAUUAUGCUUUGUUGCUUUCGUUUAAUUGGGUAGUUAUUUGGAACAUGCAAGAGUCACAUGUGUCGAGUACUAAUGUGUGUGAUGCGUUUCAGGAAUAAUGUCCCCGAGACGCUACACGCGUAGAGCUGCUUCGGCACUGCCCGAUGAAGUGCCUGAACAAUCGUGAUCCGAUGAAGUGCGCGAGCUGCGAGCCCAAGUAGCGGCUUUGGCCGGGGCCAUGCAGCUACAAGAGGAGCAGAUUGGACAACUCCACGAGAUGAUGGCGCGACAGGCGGCGGCGGCGGCAUCUGUGCCGAGGGAUCUUCCCGCACCUGCUGCUCCUGUAGCACCACCUCCUGCAGUGGCGGCGGCACCGGUGACAGCUAUUCCUCCGACGGCAUCGGGUUCUUCCGCUCCUAUUCCNAAGAAAGCAUAGGGAUGCCAUGCAACUCGGCAAACAGCCGAUCUAUGAAUGAAUGCGAUGCACCGCUAUCAAAUAAUGCACGAACUCUAAUGCCAUCAAGUAAAAUGAUACCUGCGACCACAUCCUCGGCUGCUCCCACCUCCUCGGUCUGAGCGGCAUACAUACGCCCACUCGGGGCCUGUCGAGAACCCUCGCUCUGGCGCUGGAAAGGUGGUCGCCCAGGCUGGUACUGCACCGAUGGAGUCCCCUGGCAGGCGGCUGGUAGAGCCGGUGCCGACGCAGUCGAUGGUGCCGGUAACGAUCUCCUCGGGCACUCAGUCCGGAAGUGGCCCUCCUGGCCACACAAGUAGCACCUGCCUCCCCGCUGUGGACACUGCGGUGGAGUGUGAGGACCACCGCAAAUCACACACUGGGGAGGUCGGCGUCGAUCAGGACCUCCUCGCUGCGCUGCCGGGCAGCGCCCAUGCUGCUGGCUCCUAGGGUGUUUCGGCGGCCUCCUAGAGUGCGUCUGGCUCGUACCCUCCGUCGCAGGCCUCUUGGCCUUACCCCUGUCCAAGCCCUCGCGCCGCUCCUGCAUCUCUGCCGCGCCGCUCUCCACGAUGAGCACGCGAUCCACCACCUCUCGGUAGGUUUAGAGGUUAGAGGAUUGCACGAACCGAAAGAUCGACGGUCGCAACCCUCGCUCGAAGAUGCGGGCCUUGUCCUCGUCGUCCCACACAACGAAAGGCACACAGUGUAGAAGCCGAGAAAACUCCCUCUCGUACUCGGCCACAGUGCGGUCUCCUUGGCGCAAGUUGCGCAAGUCCUGUUCAAUCUUCCGCUUGACACUAGUCGGAAAGUAGUGCGCCAACAGAAGCUCCUUGAACUUCAUCUAUAUAAUAGCCGCCAAGUCGGUGCUGGGGUUCUCCUGAAGAUCCAACCACCAGCGAUAGGCCUCGCCGUCCAGAUGGUGAGUGGCGAGCCAAACUCGAUCUCUCCUCCACGAAGGUGUCGCGGAAGAGCUUCUCCAUAUGCAUCAACCACUUUUCCACGAUCCAGUGGUCGACCUUCUCGCCAUCAAAGAUCCGGGGACUGCACCUCCUGAACUCGUUGAGGCGCUCCAUCAGUAGGUCCCGCUCCGCCCCCUCAACCAAUACGGGAAAAAUAGCUCCAAUCGGGGGUGCCUGAACAGGUGGCGCCGCCAAACCCCCCUCCAGAGGCGCGGCCACGGGCGCCGCACUCGACGAACUGGGUGCAGGGGACGGCGCUCUCGGCGCGACGUCCACAACUGGUGCUGGCGGUGUAGGGGCCUGGGUCUCCCUGAAAGCUGCCGCCUGCUGCAUAAGAAGGACCUCGAGGCGCUUCAUCCACGCCUCCUGUCAGCGCGCCGCAUCAGCCUGCUGUUGGGCCGCCGCCACCUGCUGAGCCACGAGAUCAGUAAGGGUCGCAAGCUGGCUCCUCAACUCACGGACCUCGCCAGAUCCGGAGGUAGAGGAGGUCUCGACGUCCUCCAAGUUUGCCGCAUUAUCCGCUCAAGCAGAUUGAGAGCACGUAAUCGGCAUCGUCACUACAACAUCAUAAUAGCGCAAGUUAGUAAAACCCACGCUAUCGCAUCCCCGCUCAAAUAGACAAUACCCAAAUCAUACGAAAGCAAGGAAGUGUUCUUCACCACUAACUCCCGAUGUUAUGUUGUCGGCCGCCAACGUAACCCUCCGCGAAGUUAGAAGCUAUACACUUCAAUUUAACUCCACUUUCUAGAGUUAUCAAAGAUACCCAAUCAAGAUACUUUCGCUUACAAGUCGAAUAGACCUCGUCUCUCACGAGCCUAUUUUCUAUAGUCCAACUAGCCUAAGGUUUGCUAGGUCCCCUAAGACUCAACCCUAGGCUCUGAUACCAAAUUAAUCUGUCACGCCCCGGGGCCCAGCAGAAGCCCGCUCGGCGCGUGUCCAAACCCGCCAUAUGUCUAAAACAUAUAAGGCAUCUAAAACAAAACAACAAAUGACACAAUAAAAGAAAACAACUAGAAGUAUCAGAGCAAUAUACAUCAUCUAGGAACUAAAGCAAUGGGAAGAGUAGAGAGCUAAAAUUACUAAAUAACCCAUAAAGUAGUACAACCAAAGGUCCAAAUACAAGUGCUAAAAGAGUACAUAGGUGGUCUCUAUACAUGGUAAACAAAAUCCCUCGCUCUCCCAAAACAUAAAAAGAGAGGAAACCACCUAAGAGUAAAAGUGAAUCCUCGCUAUCUAGCUAGCGAUCCCCUUGCCGCGGUCUCGUGCCUCCGCCGGUGCAAAGGGCUCUGAAAGGAAAACAUAAAACAGAGGGCGUGAGAACUAUUAAAUAAUAGUUUUCAAUGGGCAAUUACUGACUUCAGUGAAAUGCACCACUAGGCCCAAAACUAAGCAAGUAGGGUAAGUAAGUGAGAAUAAUAUGAACAAAUAAAUCACUGAAAUGGAAGCUCAAUAUAGCAUGAAGUCACUACUUUCAUCAGUAAUAAUCUACUACGUGAUCCCUACUUAGCAUGGAUUUGCAUAAGUAAUAAUCUAUCACAUAAUCUCUACUUAGCAUGAAUUUGCAUAAAUAAGAAAGCAACUACUACAAGUAAGUGCACAAGAGUAUCCAACAUGUAAAUGCAUAAGUAUGCAACUAACCCAAUGUCCACAAUGUAAAUAGUAAAGAUGUCAUUGUUUACUAUUCUAGUCAAUGUCCAAAAGGUACAAUAUGUUACCAGUAACCCUGUAGCACACUGGACCUUUGCAAAUUAUGAGGUUCGAGUGUUUGAUGUGUACUCCGAACUUUUUCACACUUGGUGGAAGGCCGUAGAUGGUAUUCCGGCCUAAAAGUUCGAUCUCUAGAGUUUUGACUUAGUCCUAAGAGUUUCCACUCUUGGGGACCGGUCCCUGAGAUGAGAGACCGGUCCCCUCAGAGUAGCACUACGGCAGGACUUGAGGCAACCGGUCCCUGGCUGGGAGAGACCGGUUCCCGAGCGCGUGUUCUGUGUGAGGGGUCCGAGAGACCGGUCCCUGGCGGGGAGAGACCGGUUCCCGAACGUGGGAUUUUCGGGGCAGGAUCAGAGACCGGUCCCAAGUCGGGGAGACCGGUCCCUUUGGGCGAAAACUGCCCAGACCAGGCUGAUGUGAAUUUGAGUUUUUGAGGGGCUUUUCUGGAGUUUGUUGCACUAGAUGGUCUAUAUGACCCUUUCACUCUCUUCCCUUCUCAUGUUUCCCCUUCACACCCAUUCUAGAGAGAGAAGAAGAGAGGGAGAAGGAGAGGAAGAAGAAUGAGAAGGAGAGGAUCUUGCUUGGAGGCCUUGGAGCAUUAUCUUCUUCCUCAUUUUUCACCUUUGGGGGACUUGGAGCUUGCCUUUGAAGCUUGGUGGUGGACCAAUCUUCAACCUAAGAGGAUUUUGGACUUGGUUUGGAGCUUCCCAGUGGUAUAUGACUAGUUCUUCUCCUCUAGAUCCUAGUUUUGGAGCUUUUUGCUUGAUGAAACCCUAGAUUGGGAUUCUUGGGUUAGAUUUGGGGCUUUUUGGAUUUGAGGGCUUUGAACCUAAUUGAUGGGUUUGGAACAUUUAAUUAGGUUGGAUUUGAAGAACUCUAACUCCCAUUUGGAGCUUGAGAGAGGAUUUCUUCACUUAGGUGAGUUUUUCUCCACCUUAGCCUAUGUUGNGAGGAUUUUCGGAAGCUAAGGCAAGGAAGUCGCAUGGUGCGGGAGUAUGAACGGGAGUUCACGCAUCUCGUCAAUUGCGUGCCGAGCUUGGUUCAUGGCGAUAGGGACCGUGCGGAGGCAUUCGAGCGCGGGUUGCGACCCGAGAUUUUCAAGGUCAUUCACGCAUUCCGCUUAAAGACCUACGAGGAAGUGCUUGAUCGCGCGCUUUGGGUAGAGCGCGGCAAUGCCAUUGCGCGAGAUGAGCGCGAGGCAUUUGAGAAGGAUAAGGAAAAGGAAAAGUCCAAGAAGCGGGCAUCUAGUGGACCCGCGGGGUAGUCGAGUUCCAAGCGACCCCUGCGGCAACAGCGACCGCAGUGGCGAGGAGGCAGGAGUCAGACUCAGAGUCAGACUACCUACUCGUGCGUGAUAUGUGGCGGAGACCACCGAGUUACUACUUGCCCACAGCGGGAGGGGCGGUGUUACCGAUGCGGCCAACCGGGACACAUAGGCCGAGAGUGCCCGGGCGGCACAUCCCCAGCUCCGUCAUCAGCUUCAGUUCAGUAUACUCAGUGACAGCUGGUGGGACUGCCACCUGCUACGUCUGUUGGACAAUCGUCGGCGCCUCGUCAGCUGGAGGCCUCUCGAGCACCUAGUAGGCGGGUAUUUGCCACUGUGGUGGAGGAGUCGCUGAUUACCGUUCCCGACGACGUCGUGGCAUCACUUUGAAAUCCUCCCGAGCAAAAGCCCCAAAUUUGGGUGCCCUAGCUCAUAACAUAUAUCAAACCUAGGGUUUGAUCUCAUUAGGAAGCAAAAGAAGCUUCAAUCUACUCUAGAGGCUCCAUAAAAACCAUCCUUAGCUUAAUCAAAACCCAUUUUAGGGUUUCACCAUGAGAAGGGUGAAGCUCACCUCUAAGCUUCAUCACAUACACCAAUCCAUGGUUUUGAUCUCUACAAGAAGCAAAAGAUAGCUCCAAAUACUCUAGGGAUCUCAUGAAAACCAUCAUUAGGGAAAUCGAAACCCUAGCUUAGAUUCUACCAUGAGAGAAGGCAAGGCUUAUCUCUAAAAGCUUUACUUCACCAAGCUAGAGAAGAAGAGGAUGGAGUUUCUUCACUCCUUCUUCUUGUUCUCCACCUUCUUCUUCUUUUCCUUUUUUUUUUCUUUUCUUUCUUUUCUUUGUCUUCUUCUUCUCUUUCUUGCCUUCUAGAGAGAGAAAGAGAGGAGAGAAGAGUGUGAGAGGGUGAGAAUGAAAGGAAAUAUCUCAUCGCCGAGACCGACGAGCGUCACGGAGAUUCGAAGUUUUCUUGAAUUGGCCGGCUACUAUCGGAGAUUUGUCGAGGGGUUUGCUAAGUUAUCUACUCCCCUCACGAGGCUCACGCAUGAAGGAGUCAAGUUCAUUUGGAAUGACGCAUGCGAGAGAAGCUUCCAAGAGUUGAAGCAAAGAUUGACGACCGCCCCGAUCCUAACCGUGCCGAUGACUAGAGCAGGGUAUGUGGUUUAUAGUGAUGCUUCACUUAAUGGAUUGGGUUGUGUGUUGAUGCAGGAUGGCAAGGUGAUCGCGUAUGCUUCGCGCCAACUAAAGGAAUAUGAAAAGAAUUAUCCGACGCACGAUUUGGGGUUGGCGGCCGUAGUUUUCGCAUUGAAGCUAUGGCGCCACUAUCUUUAUGGCGAGCGAUGUGAAGUAUACACGGAUCACAAGAGCUUAAAGUACCUGUUUACUCAGAAGGAGUUGAAUUUGCAGUGCAGAUGGUUGGAGCUGCUCAAGGAUUACGACCUGACAAUUCUUUACCACCCGGGCAAGGUUAACGUGGUGGCUGAUGCGCUAAGUCGGAAAUCGACAGAAAACUUAGUGAUGCACGUGGUUACUAAACCGCAGUUGAUCGAGCAGAUGAAGCGGUUAGAGUUGGAGGUGGUGACCCCUGACACACCUUUGAGGUUGAUGACAUUGGUGGUGCAACCUACACUUUUGGAUCGAAUUAAGGAAAAGCAAGCUUCCGACAUGGAGUUGCUAAAGAUUAAAGGUAAAAUGAUUGAUGGUUGCACCAGCGAUUUCCUUGUGGAUGACCAAGGAUUGAUGCGUUUUCGUGGGCGGAUUUGUGUACCGGCGGAUUCGGUAAUUAAAGAGGAUAUUCUUCAAGAAGCACACCGAGCACCGUAUGCUAUACAUCCGGGAGGCACCAAGAUGUAUAAAGAUUUAAAUUUGCUUUAUUGGUGGUCCGGGAUGAAAAAAGACGUUGGCGAGUUUAUAGCUCGUUGCUUAACUUGCCAACAGGUAAAGGCUGAGCAUCGAGUUCCCGCGGAAAAACUUCAGAGUUUGCCUAUUCCCGUGUGGAAGUGGGAGAAGAUCACCAUGGAUUUCGUGACUAGAUUGCCCCGCUCUCAGGCCGGGCAUGAUGCUAUUUGGGUGAUCAUGGAUAGGUUGACGAAGUCGGCGCACUUCAUACCUAUUCACACUACUUGGACCGGAGAGAAGCUCGCACAAGUGUACCUUGAUGAGAUUGUGCGACUUCACGGAGUGCCUAUGUCGAUAGUAUCGGAUCGAGACACUCAGUUUGUGUCUCACUUUUGGAGGAGUUUGCAGGACGCCUUGGGCACCCGACUAGACUUCAGUACUGCUUUCCACCCUCAGAGUGACGGGCAGUCGGAGUGCACUAUUCAGACUUUAGAGAAUAUGCUCCAAGCAUGUGUGAUUAACUUCCAGGGAGGAUGAUCGCAGCAUUUACCUAUGGCGGAGUUUGCUUAUAACAAUAGUUAUCAAGCAAGCAUCAAGAUGGCGCCGUUUGAAGCACUUUACGGACGGAAGUGUAGAUCGCCACUUCAUUGGAGUGAAGUUGGCGAUAGAUUGGUUUUGGGCCCUGAUGUGCUCCAGGAAGCUGAGGACAAGGUUCGGAUUGCUCGGGAGCGACUUUUGACGGCACAGAGUAGACAGAGAAGCUACGCUGAUCGACGGCAGCGAGACUUGGAGUUCCAAGUUGGAGACCAUGUUUUCUUGAAGGUCUCGCCGACUAGAGGAAUCAAGAGAUUCGGGAUUCGGGGAAAGUUGAGCCCCCGUUUUAUUAGACCGUAUGAGGUUUUGGAGUGUCUAGGUCCGGUAGCGUAUCGACUUGCCCUACCGCCGAAUCUAUCCGGCGUGCACAAUGUCUUUCAUGUAUCGGUCCUUCGGAGGUACAUUUAUGAUCCAGCUCACGUUUUGGAGACUAUACCAAUGGAGCUGCAUGAGGAUUUGAGCUUUAAGGAGCAAUUUUUGAGGAUUUUGGCUCGCGAGGUGAAGAGAUUGCGGAACCGUGAGAUUCCCUAAGUAAAGGUGCGUUGGAGCAACCACGACGAGCGCGAGGCCACUUGGGAGUUGGAGAGCGCACUGCGGGAGCGCUAUCCCCAUCUUUUUCAGAUGGAGGCUUGAGGUACGUUGCUUUCGAGUUUCGUAGACGAAACUCCUUUUUAGGAGUGGUGAAUGUAACACACCAAACCGUCGCAAAUAGUGAGGUUCGAGUGUUUGACUUGUGUUUCGAACUUUUUCACACUUCGUGGAGGGUCGUGGAUAGUGUUCCGACCUAUGAUUCGAGUCCCGAGAAUUGAGGUUUAAAACUUGGCACCAAAAUUCAAAAAGGUUGGAUUUUGGUGUGCUCUCGGGUAGCAUGCUACAGGGCAGUGUACCUGUAAUGCACUGGAUCUUAGCAAAUUGCAAGAUUCGAGUGUUUGAUCUGUGUGUGGAGCCUUUCCAUAGUUUUUGGAGGGUCGUUGAUAGUGUCCCGACCCUGGCACGCAUUCCGAGGAUGUUGGAGUGGGACUUGGCACCAAAAUUCCAAAAUCGAAAUUUUUGGACAGCCCUCGGGUAGCCUGCAGCAGGGCUUGUACCGGAACAAGACUGGCCUUGUACCGGUACAAGGGUUGAUGGUUGUACCGGUACAGCCAUCGGGCUUGUACCGGUACAGAGCCGCAGACCGAGCAACCCGAGCCUCGGGUUUGCAUUUUCGUCGGCCUUGUACCGGUACAAGAACCCGUGUACCGGUACAAGGAGGCAGAUUUCGUGCAGUUUGGUACGUGUAAGCAGAUGCGAGCUUUGGGGUAUUUUCGUGGGGUGUUUUUACAAUUGUUUGCAACUCUUUAAUAUACCCAGCCCCAUAGGCUGCUCGUUUUUUAGCCUAACCGUGAGGCAGACAGCGUUGAGCUCUUCCCUUUGAUUUUCUCCAUUUAUGGUGGAUUCGGGUUGGUUUUGAUUCUGAUCUCUUCCCACCUUGCUUUUUGUUUGUUUCUCCAUUUGAUGACUUUGGAGCUUGGAGAGGGUUGUUUGAGAGUAGGUCUUCAACUCAACUUGGCUUGGGCUGGUUUCCGUAUCUUGUGAGGUUAGCAUUAUUAUCUCUUUUUGAUCGUUUUGUAGUUUCUAUUAGUUGGAAAAUGCUAGAUUUUGGAAUUUAUAUGUUAGAAAUGGGAUUUUGGAUUUGUAGCUUCUAGGAUCAAUUAUUGGUUUAGAACUUUGAUUUAGGUUGGAUUUGAAGGACUCUGCUCCUUUUGAGAGAUCGAAAAGAUUCCUUGCGUACGGUGGUAUUCUCACUUGCUUGUAUAACAUAAAAUGUUGAUUCUUAGUUUGUUCGUAAGGGUUCAGAAGCAAUGGUUUAACUUCCUGGUUCUAAACCUUCUAGGGUGCUAAGCGAUAGUGGACACCAUUCGGUCGGAGCAAACGAUAGAGUUGCGGGCUUUGUGCGGUUUAGGUCAUUGUGUAAAAUGGGGAGGGAAUGCUCCUAUGGAUGGUUUAAAUUAUGUUUGUUAUAUUAAAUACAUGGGCAUAUUUCAUGACCUAAAUGGAAUUUAUAGUGAAUUUCUUAGAGCGCGUUAAACCCUUUAAAGCAUAUUUGUAAGAUUGCCUCGCUAUGUUGUAAGAGGAAGAAUGCAAUUGUUAGAUAUUGCAUGAGUUUUAAUGUUUAGAUGAAUGAUGUAAGAUCUGUCUUGGUGUUUGAAAAUGAUGUAGAAAUGACAUGCUUUUGGACUUAUUUUUAUAUUGGGAUGUAAAGAAAAAGUGUCAUCAAAGGGCACGAUUGACUAGAAAAUGCCGUUGAACUAAACGUUAAGAGGACAUGAUGAUAGACCAGCUGGAAUGUAUAUUCCUGUUUUUAGAAUAAUGACUUCUUAAGAGAGCCAAUAGGAGCAUGGCAGACAGUUCUAUAUUCCGUGUUUGCCAAUGACUUCGGAGGAUGCUUUGGGACAUUGUGCUGUGCUUCUGGCGUUUUAGAUCACGAUGGAAACAGUGAUGAACUGUGGGCUGAAACGGGUUAUUCGGCAUGAAUAUGCAUGCCAUUGCUCAUUCGACGUUACUUGUGAGGCGCAUCCUAUCGGCAUCGCGGUAAGAUAUGCCAGGCUGACAUGAUGCUCGGCGUGCGGGCUUGGGGCGCCAAAAUGGGGACUGGCGUGGAGCGGCUCAUAAUUCUAGAAAGGUGGGAUGUUGACUCCGGGCCAAUUUCGUUGGCCGACGCGCGGGACUAUUAACGGGUAGCUUCCACGAAGAUUAGUUACUGUGACAUAUUGUUUUGGGACAUUAACUAGAAUAGUAAACAAUGACAUAUUUACUAUUUACAUGUGACUUGGAUUGCAUUACUUAUGAUUUACAUGUUGGAAUACUUCUGUGCACGAUGCUAGGAUGAGUAGUUACUUACUUCUAUGCAGAUUCUUGAUAGUAGAGAUUAUGGAUGUAUUCAUUACUUAUGGCAUCCAAUUGCUAGUAGCAGAUCAUUGGGUAGAUUUUACUGUGAAAGUUGACAUGGCUAUAUUGCUCCAUUUCGGCCGGGUUAUUUUGUUCAUAUUUAUAUUCUUACUUGCUUACUACCUUUACUUGCUUAGUUUGGGGUAGUGCGUGCUUUCACUGGAGUCAGAAUUGCCACUGGGACUAUUAUUUUUACUCGUACUCCGCCGCUUGAUUUUAUGUUUUUCUUUCGAGCCUUGCACCGGCGGAGAGCCACAGGACCGCGGCAAAGGUGCAUAGCUAGAAUAUGCGAGGAUUCACUUCUUACUCUUUUUAGGUGGUUUUUUCAUCUAUUUAUGUUUUGGACGCGGACAGUGAGAGCGAGGAUUUUGUUUACCAUUUAUCUGAGACCACCAGUUUGUACUCUGUUGGGCACUUGUAUUUUGGAUCUUGGUUUUACUACUUUAUGGGUUUCAUUAGGUGCUUUUAGCUCUCUACUCUUCAGCUUUGCUUUAAGUCUUCGAUAAUGUAUAUUGGCUCUGAUACUUUUAGAUGUUUUCUCUCUAUUGUCUCUUUUUCGUUUUGUUUUAGAGCUUAUCUGUUUUAGGACGUAUGUGGGUCUGGACACGGCGCCGGGCGGGCUCCUAUGGACCCGGGGAAUGACAUUCGCGAAGCAGUUUCACGGUUGUCUCGAAGUCAAGUCCUCCCUCGCACUCUAAGGGGUGUAGCAGUCCAAAACACGGAUAUAGACUUUGCAGGACAUACAUGAAAAGACGUAUUGUGCAAGCCCGAUAGGUUCGGUGGUAGAGCAAAGUGGAUGCGCUACGGGACCUACGCUCCAAAACUUCAUACGGUUCCAUGGAGACGAGGUCCUUAGCCCAGCAUUUUCGAUCUCAUGGAUCCGCAUCUAGUUCGGGAGGAGACUUCAAGAAAACUUGGUCUUCACUUGGAAUCCAAGUUCGCUGUCGGGUCGGCGUAAGUGCUUGUCUACUUGCACUGUUUAAAGUCGCUCCUGAGCAAUUCCAAUUUCUCCUCAGCUUCUGGGGAGAAAUUGGUCCAAAGAUCUGUCGCAAUUUUCCUCCAUUGAAGUGGCGUAUUUCACUUUCCGUCCUAUCAAGUGCUUGACGGUGCCAUCUGAUGCUUCGCUUGUAAUAUUGUUUAGCAAACUCCGCAUAGUAGAUGGCGACUCUUACCCUUGGAAGUCUAGAUCACAUAUGCUCGGGCUAUCCUUAAAGUCUGUAUUUGUGCGCUGCGACUGGCCCAUCACUUAGGGUGGCAAGUAGUGUAAAAUCCAGCGAGUGCUGGGGGACUUGGUAGACUCCUCAAAAGUGAAGACAAAACGGGAUGUCUCGAUUCUGAUAGAAUUCGACGUGUGCAUCCGUGAGUCGCACAAUCUCAUCAAGGUACAUUUGGCGAGCUUUCCCAGUCAGUAGUUGAAUAGGUGAUGAAGUGCGCGGCGUUCGUUAAACCUAUCCCGAUAGCCAAAUAGCAUCAUGCACGGCCUUGAAGGAGACGGCAUUCCGUCACGAAAUCAUGGUGUCUUCUCCCACUCAGCGGGAAUAGGCACUCUGAUGUUUUCCGCGGAGAACUCGUGCUCGGCCUUUAUGUUGGCAGUUAGACAACGAGUUACAACUCGCCACUUCUUUUUCAUCCGUGUCUAAGUAAAGCAACUUUAAAUUCUUUAAUCUUGGUGCUCUUGGAGUAUAGUAGGGCUCUCGAUGCCACUUUUGAGAUGUCCUCUUUAAUUCCUGAAUUCCGUCGCCCGUACGCAAUGUCACAGAACGCAUCACCUUAGUCAUCACAAGAAAAUUCGCUGGUGAACUAUUACCAUUUUUCCUUUAAUUUUUGCAAUACAUCGGGAAGCUUCUUUCUUUAUUCAAUCUAUAGAGUGUUAGGUUGCCCACCCAUUCAUCACCUCAAAGAAUGGUGUCAGGAGUCACACCUCCAACUGCUACGCUCAUUGCGUCGAUCAACUGGGUGUAGUAACAAAUGAUCGUUAGUUUUUUGUUGAUUUCCUUACUUAGGAUCAGGCACAAAAUAAUAAGCCUUGACGGGGUGGUAUGAAUCUAGGUCGUAAAUCCCUUUGUGCAGUCCAAACAUCUGCGCCAUCUCAGGUUCAACUCUUUCUGGUGAAGUAAGUAUCUUCAACUCUGUGUCCGUGUAUAGCUUCCACCGUCAUACAAGUAUUGCGCGCCAUAUUUCAAGGCGAGACUAAAUGGCCAGCAAUUUCAAAUCCAUUGCUCGAUAGUUUCUUGUUCAUAAUCCUUUAGUUGGCGCGAAAUACGCGAUUCACUUUGCAUCUGCGACAACACACAAACCGAUCUAUUAAGUGAGUCACUAAACACAUACCCUGUCCAGCCAUUCGCAGGGUUCGGAUCAGGGCGGUCGGUCUCUUUUGCUUACUCUUGGAAGCUAUCUUCGCGAUGAUCAUUCAAAUGAACUUGACUCCUUUUUGCCGUGAAGUCUUGUGGGGGAGUCGGAUACUUAGCAAACCCCGGCAAUCUACGGGUAGUACCGGCAGAUCCAAGAAAACUCCGAAUUCCGUGACGACUCGUCGGGUCUCGGUCAAUCCCUAUGCCUCGAUCUUGGGACCACCGGCAAUACUUUGAUCCGAAAUCAGUCGCCAAGGAGCCUUAGCUCUCGAGCAAAAUUUAUACUUUUUAGCUUUGCAAAGUCUUUUCCCGAGAGUUUGACGUACAAGUCUCAAAGGUCAUCGUGAUCUGCUCCUGCUGGGAAUAACAAAUGUGUCGAUGACACCCGGAAAAAUCUGUCCAGGGUAAGCCUUAAAAAUCGGUUUAAUCAGAUCAUAAAUCGCUGCGGGCGCGUUCGUAAGCCGAAGCGAUUCACUGUGAAUCAUAUGGUCCAUUACGUGUUUCUAAAGCCGGUCUCUAUACAUGCCUCGGUUUUUAAUCUUUAACUGGUGAUAUCCGUUGCAAAAUCGAUCUUUGGAUACACACACCGAUUCCCUGAGAUGUAUAAAACAGCGCCGUCGUCCUCGCGGCAACGGUAUGUUGUUUGAUUGUGACUUAUUUAAGUUAUCCACGAUAUCCCACAUAUAGUGAGAAGUGAUCGUCCUUUUUCAUUUACGAACAAAAUUGGCGCUCCCGGUGGACGUCGGUACGAUUAAGCCCUUGUCCAACAGUUGUAGGCUGUGCCCUCAGUCCUUCAGCUCGCGGGGGUGCAAUCAUAAUGGGGGCCUUCUAGAUUGGGUGUCUCAGGACGGAUUACCAAAACUCGAUCUCCUAUCGGGUGAACCGAUUAGCUCAGCUGAGAAACACGUCCUUGGAGAACUCCGUACCACCGUGGAUAUCCUUAAUCCUAGAGGGUGUAUCUCGGCCCUAACACAACCUAGCCAAGUAGGUAACAUCUCGGCUGUCAUGCUGCCUAGUCGAGACGGCUGAUCGAAUCGUAAAGAGCAGAAUCCGGGUUCUCUAAUAUAUCACGGCUCAACUUGCCCGGAUCCUCUAAAAGUAACUGAUGCGAUUUUGCAUCAAUCGCUGGAUUAUUACUUGAGCUUAACCAAUCUGCCUAAGACACUCAAAUUCCCCCAGUUGCGCAGUGCUAGCAAGUCAGGGCAUAAUCCAACCUCACUACCCGAUUAGGCACUGGGGCAAUACUCUCUUUAAUAUCAAAAGAGGGUGGUCGGGACACUACACGUCCUGGAUGCAAAAAAAGGAGCUGGGGAUGCCUGCAACUCGGCAACAGCGAUUAUGACAUGAAUCGAUGACCGCUUAUUCAAUAAUGCACGAACUCUAAUGCAUCAAUGUAAAAUGUUACCUGCGAACAAUCUUCGCUGUCCAGCUCCUGGUCUUGAGCGGCAUUACUCCGCAUCGGGGCUGUCGAGUAACUCGCUCUGGCGCUGGAAAGGUGUCGCCCGGUGUUGCACGUUUGGGUCCCUGGCAGGCGGCUCGGAUAGAGCCGUGAGACGCAGUCGUGGUGCCGUAAGGUAACGGAUCUCCUCGGCACUCCGUCGGAAAGAGUGCCUCCUGGCACGACGUAGCACUGCUCCCGCUUGUGGACAUGCGGUGAGAGUGUGGGGACCCGCAAUCUACACACUGGGGACGUCGCGGGGUCGAUCAGGGCUCCUCGUGCGCUGCCGGCAGCGCCAUGCUGGCUGAGUCGUAGGGUGUUUCGUGCGGCUCUAGAGUGGUCAUGGCUCGUACCCUCGUCGCAGGCUCUUGGGCUUACCCCUGUCCACCCCGCGCCGCUCUGACAUCUCUGCCGCGCCGCUCUCCAACGAUUGAGACGCGUCACCACUCUCGGUAAGUUUAUGGAGGUUAGAGGAUUGCACGGACCGAAGAUCGACGGUGGCAACCCGUCAAACGAUGCGGGCUUGUCCUCGUGUCAUCACAACGAAAGGACCAGUGUAGAAGCGAGGGAGAAACUCGCCUCUGUACUCGCCAAGUGCGGUCUCCUUGGCGCAAGUUGCGCAAGUCCUGUUCAAUCUUCGUUGACACUAGUCCGAAGUUAGUGCGCUACAGAAGCCUCUUGAAUUCAUCUAUAUAAUGCGCAUCUGGUGCUGGGGUUCUCCUGUAAGAUCCAACACCAGCGAUGGCUCGCGUUCCAGAUGGUGAAUGUGGGCGAGCCAAUCGAUCUCAGUCCUCCAGGAAGAGUUGUCUGCGGACGAGCUUCGCAUAUGCAUCAACACUUUUCCGAUUCCAGUGGUGCUUUCUCGCAUCAAAGAUCGAGGGAAUGGCCUCUGAACUCGUUGAGGCGCUCCAUCAGUAGGUCCGCUCCGCCUCACAUCGGGAAAAAUAGCUUCAUGGGGGUGCUGAAAGGGUAACUGGCGCGCGGCAAACUCCCUCCACGAGGCCGCACGGGCGCCGCAUCGCCGAUGGGUCCGGGACGGCGCUCUCGGCCGCGGACGUUCCACAACUGGUGCUGCGGUGUAGGGGGCCUGGGUCUCCUGAAAAGUGCCGCUGCUGUUAAGAGGACUGAGGCGUUCAUUCACUCUCUGUCACGCGCGCGAUCAGCCUUUGCUGUUGGGCCGACGGCACCUGCUGAGCCACAGGAUCAGUAGUGGUGUCAAGCUUGAUCUCACUCACGAGACUCGCCAGAUCCGGAGGGUAGGGUCUCGCGUCUACCAAGUUUGCGCAUUAUGCCGCUCAAGCAGUGAGGCACGUAUUCCGCUGUCACUACAAUCUAAUAGCGAAGGUUAGUAACAGCUUCGCAAUCCGCCUUCAAAUAGAACAAUACCCAAAUCAUACAAAGAAGGAAGUGUUCUUCACACUCUCCCGCUGUUAUAGUUUGUCGGCCGGCGCAACGUAUCUCGCGAGUUAGAAGUUACACUUCAUUUUAACUCCACCACUUCUCGGUUAUCAAAGAUACCCAAUCAGAUACUUUCGCUUACAGAGUCGAAUAGGAAUCGUCUCUCACGGCUAUUUUCUUGUCCAACUGCCUAAGGUUUCUGAGGGCUCCCCUAGGACUAACCCUAGGUUGUUACAAAUUAAUUUCCUUUAAUUAUGUUCACGCCCGGGCCCAGCCAGAAGCCGCUCGGCGGUGUCCAACCGCCAUAUGUCUAAAGCAUAAGGAUCUAAAAUCAAAACAACAAUGAAAUAAAAGAAAAAACUUAGAAGUUCAGGCAUUAUACUCAUUAGGAACUCAAAGCAAUGCGGAAGAGCUAGGGGCUAGAAUACUAAAUAAACCCAUAAGUAGGUCAACAAUGAGUCAAAUACAAGUGCUAAAAGAGUACAUACGGUGGUUCUAUACAUGGUUAACAAAUCCUCGAUCUCAACAAAUAAAAAGAGAGGCAACCACCUAAGAGUAAAGUGAUUCCUCGCUAUCUUAGCUAUGCGAUCCUUGCCGCCGGUCUUUCGUGGCCUCCGCGGUGCAAAGGGCUCUGAAAAGGGAAAUAAAAACAGCGAGGGCGUUGAGAACUAUUAAAUAAUAGUAUUUCAAUGGGCAAUUACUGAUUCGUUGAAUGCCCUAGCAAAAUUUAAGAAGUGGGUAAGUAGAGUGAGAAUAAUAUGAACAAAUAAUCAGCUGAAUGGGAAGCUAAGCUAUGAUUUGAAGUCAACUACUUUCAUCAGUAAUAUGAUUACUACGUGAUCCCUAUUAGCCAUGGGAUUUGCUAAGUAAUUAAUUCUAUCAAUAAUCUUACUGAGCCAUGAAUUGCUAAUAAGAAGCAACUACUUUAAAGUAAGUGCCAAGAGUAUCAACAUGUAAAUGGCAAUAGUAUGCAGAUAACAAUGUCACAAUGUAAAUAGUUAAAGAUGUCUUGUUUUAUAUUUAGUCAAUGUCAAAAGGUACAAUAUGUUGCAGUAACUGAUGCACACUGGCCUUGCAUUAUGAGGUUCACGUGGUUUAUGUGUACUCCGACUUUCCACUGGGUUGAAGGCCGUGGAUGAUAUUCCGGCCUAAAAGUGUCGGCAUUCUAGCGUUUGACUUAGAGUCCUAAGAGUUUCCACUCGUUGGGACCGGUCCGUGAGAUGAGAACCGGUACCCAUCGAGUGCCUAGGCCCGGAUUGAAGGCACCGCGGUCCUGGUGCGAAGACCGGUUCCCGGAGCGGUGUUCUGUGUGAGGGGGUAGGGGCGAGGACGUCUCCUGGCGGGGAUGAGAGACCGGUUCCGAACGUGGAUUUUCGGGGAGGAAUUCAGAGCGGUCCAGUGGGAGACCGGUCCUUUUGGGCGAUAAUUGCCCAGGACCAGGCUGAUGUGAAUUUUGAGUUUUUGAGGGGCUUUUCGGAGUUUGUUGCAUUAGAUGGUCUAUAUGAACUUUCACUUCUUCCCUUCUACAUGUUUCCCUUACACACCUCUAGAGAGAGAAAGAAGAGCGGGAGAGGAGAGGAGAAGGAUUGAUGAAGGAGAGGAUCUUUGUUGGAGGCCUAUGGAGCAUUAUCUUCUUCUAUUUUUCACNNNNNNNNNNNNNNNNNNNNNNNNNCUUCUGGCCAGGGGUUUUUGCUUAUCUUAAACAAUACUAAUACAGCACCCACCGCCACCGUAGGCUCUUUUUAGCUUGCACUGCAUGGCGGAACAAAGGUAAGGAGAGCUUCUCUGUUGCUUCCUCUUUGUUUUACACCUCCCUCUAGCCUCGAUUUGAAGGAUUAAUCCCUUUCUUUCCUCUUUCUACUGUUCCCGCCAUUGAUGGAGCUUAGAACUUGGAUUUGGAGCUAAGUGGAGGAUAAUCUUGGGAUUUAAAGAUUUAGGCUUGAUUUGAAGCUUACUAAGAAGGUAAGCAUUACACUAUUUCACUCGAUAUUGAGUUUAUUGGAUUCUCAUGAGUUGACACCCUAGAUUGUGAUAUUAGGGUUUUUUGCAUUUUGAAUCUAGGGCUUUUGAAGCUAAUCUGAUGAUUAGAGGCUUCCAUUAGUUGGAUUGGAUGGAGCCCUAACUUCAAUUUUGGAUUUUAGAAUCUCUCUCUUGCUUUGGGGGACUUGGAGCUUGCCUUUGAAGCUUGGUGGUGGACCAAUCUUCAACCUAAGAGGAUUUUGGACUUGGUUUGGAGCUUCCCAGUGGUAUAUGACUAGUUCUUCUCCUCUAGAUCCUAGUUUUGGAGCUUUUUGCUUGAUGAAACCCUAGAUUGGGAUUCUUGGGUUAGAUUUGGGGCUUUUUGGAUUUGAGGGCUUUGAACCUAAUUGAUGGGUUUGGAACAUUUAAUUAGGUUGGAUUUGAAGAACUCUAACUCCCAUUUGGAGCUUGAGAGAGGAUUUCUUCACUUAGGUGAGUUUUUCUCCACCUUAGCCUAUGUUGCUUUUGUUUGAGCUUAGGGUUGAUCGUAAGAUUUGUUUGACCCUUGUUCCUACAUCUUUAGGGUGCUAGGAGAUUAGUCGACACCUUCGUCGGGGCUUACGAAGGGUUUCGGUAUCAUCGGUGGGUUUGGCUUCAUGAACACGAAGCAAAAUGGCCCCUAUGUUUUCUAUACUUGUCGUAGAGUAUUUUUGAAUGCAAAUCCAUGCUAAAUAUGAAUUAUGUGAAUUUUAGAACGCUUGAAAUGCAUGCCUUAUGUAUUCAUGAAAUUGCACUCUAUAUAGUAGAGCUAUAUGUGUAAACUGCAUGCAUUGUGGAAGGUGGUUAGCUUUGCAAAUUGAGAACAUAUCUCUUAUGUUUGAAAUGAGUAAAAUUAUAUAUUCAUGAACAUAGGUACCAUGCUUGGACUCAUUGAACAAUAGUGUCAUAAAGGGGCACUUGAAACUAGUAAACUGUGAAAAUGUAACAUAGAGACAUAGUGAUAGGCCAUUGGACGUCGACUAUAUUCCAUGUUAGAGACAUGACGACAUAGUGAUAGGCCUUUGUGACAUUCGAUAUAUUCCAUGCUUUAGACAUGAGGACUUGGUAUUUGAGACAGACUUAUACGCAUGCUUGCCAUUGUGCUCAUUCGCACAUGCUUGUGAGGAUCGCUCUCUACAAGCCGGCACUCCGGAGUUGGCCAUCGCGAUAUAUUCGCUGUGUGGGAUUGGGCGCCGAAGUGGAUUGCCGUGGGAAAGGCUCAUUUCUAGGGUGGGGAUGUGACUACCACGGGGCCAUUAGGCACGGUAAAGCCAGACAGCCUUCAGGUGGGUCUUAUGCCAGACAGCCUUCGGGUGGGUCUUAUCAGAGUUGAACUUUAAACAGUUAAAGUGACAAGUGGACAUUGGCUAGAAUAGUGAACAUUGACAUUAUUGCUAUUCACAUUGUGAGCAUUGGGAUAGUUGCAUAUUUUUGCAUUUACAUGUUGGAUACUCUUGUGCAUAUUCUUGUAGUAGUUACUUUCUUGUUUAUGCAAAUUCUGCUAAGUAGAGACAUCAUGGUUGAGUAGUAAUCCUGUUUAUUUUCUAGUUGUUUUUAUCGCUUUUGGCUUAUGCUUAUACACUGACCCUUUUGUUGUAGCCUUUGGGCCUAGUGGCGCAUUCACUGAAGUCAGUAAUUGCCCACUGGGAACUAUUAUUUAAUAGUUCUCACGCCUCUAUUUCUAUGUUUUCUUUUCAGAGCCUUCGGCACCGGCGGAGGCGCGGGAUCGCGGCAAGGGUGCCGCGUAGUUAGCUCGGAGAGAGAGUCCGUUCUGCUUUAGGUGGUUACUCAUCCUUUGUUUGUGUAGAGAGAAUGAUAGAUUUUGCACCAUGUAUAGAGAGACCACAUUGUAUUCAGACUAGUACUUGUUAUGGGACUCCUUUUGUAUUAUCUUAUGUUUACUUAGUGGAUUACCAGUUUUAUGUUCUUCUCCUUGUUGUAGCACUUCGUAGUAUUUUGCUCUGAUACACUUAGAUGCUUUCUUUUUAUUGUUUUAUUUACCGCUUUAUUUUAAACGCCUUGUAUGUUUUAGACGUACGGCAGGUCUGGACACGCGCCGUGCGGGCUCCCGCUGGGUCCCGGGGCGUGACAAAUUAGUUUGGUAUCAGAGCCUAGGGUUGAGUCUUAGUGGACCUAGCAAACCUUAGGCUGAUUGGACUAUUGGAUAUAGGCUCGUGAGUGACGAGAUCUAUUUGAUUUGUAAGAGAAAGUAUCUUGAUUAGGUAUCUUUGAUAACUCUAGAAAGUGGAGUUAGAUCGAAGUGUACAGCCUCUAACUUCGCGGAGGGUUACGUUGGCGGCCGACAACGUAACAUUGGGAGUUAGUGGUGAAGAACACUUCCUUACUUUCGCAUGAUUUGGGUAUUGUCUAUUUGAGCGGGGAUCCGAUAGCGUGGGUCUUACUAACUUACGCUUUUAUGAUAUUGUAGUGUGAUGCCGAUUACACGCUACCAAUCUGAGCGGAUAACGUGGCAAACCUGGAGGAGGUUGAGACCUCCGCUACCUCCGGAUCCGGCGAGGUCCGUGAGUUGAGGGGCCAGCUUGCGGCCCUCACUGAUAUGGUGGCAUAGCAGACUGAGGCGGCGCGCCGACAGGAGGCGCGGAUGAAGCGUCUGGAGGAUCUCCUACUACAGCAGACGGAGGCUCGGGAGACUCAGGCCCCUACACCGCCAGCACCGGUUGUGGACGUCGCGCCGAGAGCGCCAUCCCGAGCGCCCAGUUCGUCGCGAGCACCACCCGCGGUAGCGCCUCAGGAGGAGGCUAUUGGGGCACCACCUGUGCAGAGGCCCCCGAUUGGAGCUGUUUUUUUCGUGAUGGCUGACGGGGCAGAGCGGGACCGACUGAUGGAGCGCCUCAAUUAGUUCAGGAGGUGUAGCCCCAGGAUUUUCGAUGGCGAGAAGGUCGACCACUGGAACGUGAAAAAGUGGUUGAUGCAUAUGGAGAAGCUCUUCCGCGAUACCUUCGUGGAGGAGAGGGAUCGAGUUUGGCUCGCCACUCAUCAUCUGGACGGCGAGGCCUAUCACUGGUGGUUGGAUCUCCAGGAAAACCCCAGCACUGACUUGACGGCUAUAUCUUGGACGAGGUUCAAGGAGCUUCUAUUGGCUCACUACUUCGCGACCAGCGUCAAGCGGAAGAUGGAGCAGGAUCUGCACAACUUGCGCCAAGGUGAUCGAACUGUUGCCGAGUACGAGCGGGAGUUUUCUCGGCUUCUUCAUUGCGUGCCUUUCGUCGUGCGGGACGACGAGGACAAUGCCCGCAUCUUCGAGCGAGGGUUGCGACCGUCGAUUUUCCGGUUUGUGCAAUCCACUAACCUCCAAACCUACCGGGAGGUGGUGAUCCGCGCGCUCAUAGUGGAGAGCGGCGCAGCAGAGGUCCAGGAGCGACGAGAGGCCAUGGACAAAGGCAAGGCCAAGAGGCCUGCGGCUGAGGGUGCGAGCCAGACGCACUCUAGGAGGCCACCGAAGCAUCCUAGGAGCCAGCAGCGUGGACGAGGCUCAGCAGCGCAGUGAGGAGGAUCUGACCGACGCCGGCCCUCCCCGUGUGUGAUCUGUGGUGGUCCUCAUCACCCACCGCACUGUCCACAGCGGGCGGGCAGGUGCUUCCAGUGUGGCCAGGAGGGCCACGUGCGGACUGAGUGCCCGAGAAGUUCUUCACCGGCACCGUCGACUCCAUCGGCACCGGCUCUACCAGCCGCCAGCCACGGGACUCCGUCGACACGGUACCAGCCUGGGCGGCCACCCGUCGUAUGCCGCUCAGACUGAGUAGGCGGCAGGAGCUGAGGAUGUGGUUGCAGGUAUCAUUUUACUUGAUGGCAUUAGAGUUCGUGUUUUAUUUGAUACCGGUGCAUCGCAUUCAUUUAUAGAUCGGCUGUUUGCCGAGUUGCAUGGCAUCCCUUUGGUUUCUUUAUUGCAUCCGGGACAUGUUGUAGUACCCGACCACACUCUGGAUAUUAGAGAGUAUUGCCCUAGUUGCCCCGUUCGGGUAGGAGCUUAGAUCAUGCCCGUAGAUUUGCUAGCCCUGCGCAAGCUAGGGGUUUCGAUGUGGUCUUGGGUAUGGAUUGGCUAACCAAGUAUUAUGCCACGAUAGAUUGCAAGAAUCGCACGGUUACUUUUAGAGAACCAGGACAGACUGAGGUUGUGUUUAGAGGAUGCCGGAGUUCGCUUUUUGCGAUGUCGAUCAGCUCGUCUCGAGCUAGGCAGCUGAUCAGCCGAGGAUGUGUAGCCUACUUGGCUAGUGUUGUGUUGAGGGGCGAGGAUGGCACCCCUAGGAUUGAGGAUAUCCCGGUGUUACGGGAGUUCCAGGACGUGUUUCCAGCAGAGUUAUCGGGUAUGCCACCCGAUAGGAAGAUCGAGUUUGUAGAAGAUCUCGUCCCUGGGACUACCCCAAUCUCAAAGGCACCCUAUAGGAUGGCACCAGCGGAACUGAAGGAGCUGAGGGCACAGCUACAGGAUUUGUUGGACAAGGGCUUCAUUCGACCGAGCGUCUCGCCGUGGGGAGCGCCAGGUUUGUUCGUCAAGAAAAAGGAUGGAUCACUUCGCCUAUGUGUGGAUUAUCGUGAACUUAAUAAAGUCACGAUCAAGAAUAAGUAUCCGUUGUCGAGGAUCGACGAUUUAUUUGAUCAGCUUCAAGGAUCGUGUGUGUAUUCCAAGAUAGAUUUGCAGUCGGGACACCACCAAUUAAAGAUCAAACCCGAGGAUGUAUCGAAGACGGCUUUUAGAAUACGGUAUGGACAUUAUGAGUUCACAGUGAUGCCGUUCGCGCUUACUAACGCCGCGGCAGGUUUUAUGGAUCUGAUGAACCGUGUUUUCAAGCCUUACCUGGACAGAUUUGUCGUGGUGUUCAUCGACGAUAUUUUGGUUUAUUCCCGAAGUGAUGCGGAUCAUAAGAAACAUUUGAGGCUUGUAAUUCAAAUACUUCGGGAAAAGGAGCUUUAUGCCAAGCUGAAAAGUGUGAAUUUUGGCUUCGAGAGGUAGCCUUCCUUGGACAUUUGAUAUCGGGAUCGGGUAUAGCCGUGGAUCCUAAGAAGAUUAAAGCAAUCAAGGAUUGGCCGAGACCGACGAGCGUCACGGAGAUUCGGAGCUUCCUUGGAUUGGCCGGUUAUUAUCGGAGAUAUGUUGAGGGGUUUGCUAAGUUGUCUACUCCCCUCACGAGGCUCACGCAUAAAGGCGUUAAGUUCAUCUGGAAUGAUGCGUGUGAGAGAAGCUUCCAAGAGUUGAAGCAAAGAUUGACGACCGCCCUGAUCCUGACCCUACCUAUUGCUGGAGCAGGGUAUGUGGUUUUUAGCGAUGCAUCUCUUAAUGGAUUGGGCUGCGUUCUGAUGCAGGAUGGCAAGGUGAUCGCGUAUGCUUCUCGCCAACCGAAGGAAUAUGAAAAGAAUUACCCUACGCACGAUUUGGAGUUGGCGGCCGUAGUCUUCGCAUUGAAGUUAUGGCGCCACUACUUGUAUGGCGAGCGGUGUGAAGUAUACACGGAUCACAAGAGCUUGAAGUAUUUGUUCACUCAGAAGGAGUUGAACUUGAGACAGCGCAGAUGGUUGGACCUGCUCAAAGAUUAUGAUUUGAUGAUUCUUUACCACCCGGGCAAGGCUAACGUGGUAGCUGAUGCGCUAAGUCGGAAAUCGACAGAAAACUUAGCGAUGCAUGUUGUUACUCAACCGCAGUUGAUCGAGCAAAUGAAGCAGUUGGAGUUGGAGGUGGUGACUCCUGACAUGCCUUUGAGGUUGAUGACGCUGGUGGUGCAACCUACACUUUUGGAUCGAAUUAAAGAAAAGCAAACUUCCGAUGUGGAGUUGCAAAAGAUUAAUGGUAAAAUAGUUGAUGGUUGCACCGGCGAUUUUCUUGUGGAUGACCAAGGAUUGAUGCGUUUCCGUGGACGGAUUUGUGUACCGGCGGAUUCAGGAAUUAAAGAAGAUAUUCUUCAAGAAGCGCACCGAGCGCCCUACGCUAUACAUCCGGGAGGCACCAAGAUGUAUAAGGAUUUAAAGUUGCUUUAUUGGUGGCCCGGGAUGAAAAAGGACGUUGGCAAGUUUGUAGCUUGUUGUCUAUCCUGCCAACAAGUAAAGGCUGAGCAUCGAUUACUCGCGGGAAAACUCCAGAGUUUGCUUCUUCCCGUGUGGAAGUGAGAGAAGAUCACCAUGGAUUUUGUGACAUGAUUGCCUCGCUCUCAGGCCGGGCAUGAUGCUAUAUGGGUGAUCGUGGAUAGGUUGACGAAGUCGGCGCACUUCAUACCUAUUCAUACGACUUGGACCGGAGAGAAGCUCGCACAAGUGUACCUUGAUGAGAUUGUGCGACUUCAUGGGGUGCCUACCUCGAUUAUAUCGGACCGAGACACUCGGUUUGUGCCUCACUUCUGGAGAAGUCUACAGGACGCCAUGGGCACCCGACUCGACUUCAGCACUGCUUUCCACCCUCAGAGUGAUGGGCAGAAGGAGUGCACUAUUCAGACCAUAGAGGAUAUGCUCCGAGUAUGUGUGAUAGACUUCCAGGGAGGAUGGUCGCAGCAUCUACCGAUGGCGGAGUUUGCGUAUAACAACAGUUAUCAAGCAAGCAUUAAGAUGGCACCAUUCGAAGCACUUUAUGGACGAAAGUGUAGAUCGCCACUUCAUUGGAGUGAAGUUGGCGAAAGAUUGGCAUUAGGCCCUGAUGUGCUCCAGGAAGCUGAGGACAAGGUUCGAAUUGCUCGGGAGCGACUUGUGACAGCGCAGAGUAGACAGAGGAGCUACGCCGACCGACGACGGCGAGACUUGGAGUUCCAAGUUGGAGACUAUGUUUUCUUGAAGGUCUCGCCGACUAGAGGGAUCAAGAGAUUUGGGAUUCGGGGUAAGUUGAGCCCCCGUUUCAUUGGACCGUAUGAGAUCUUGGAACGGAUAGGUCCGAUAGCGUACCGACUUGCUCUACACCGAACCUAUCUGGCGUGCACAACGUCUUUCAUGUAUCGGUCCUUCGGAAUUAUGUCUUCGACCAGACUCAUGUGUUGGAUGCUACACCUGUAGAGUUGUGGGACGAUUUGAGCUUCGAGGAGCAACCCGUGAAGAUCUUGGCUCGCGAGGUGCGGAAACUGCGGAAUCGGGAUAUUCUGUACGUGAAGGUUCUUUAGAGCAACCACAGGGAGCGAGAAGCCACAUGGGAGCAAGAGAACGCGAUGCGGGAGCGCUAUGCCCAUCUUUUUCAAAUGGAGCCUUGCGGUAUGUUGUCGUUUUGAGUUUUGCGGACGAAACUCUUUUUUAGGAGGGGUGAAUGUAGCACAUUGGACCUUUGCAAAUUGUGAGGUUCGAGUGUUUGAUGUGUACUCCGAACUUUUCCACACUUGGUGGAAGGCCAUAGAUGGUAUUCCGGCCUAAAAGUUAGAUCUCUAGAGUUUUGACUUAGUCCUGAGAGUUUUCACUCUCGGGGACCGGUCCCUGAGAUGAGAGACCGGUCCCCUCAGAGCAGCACUACGGCAGGACUUGAGGCAACCGGUCCUUGGCUGGGAGAGACCGGUUCCCAAGCGCGUGUUCUGUGUAAGGGGUCCGAAAGACCCGUCCCUAGCGGGGAGCGACCGGUUCCCGAAUGUGGGAUUUUCGGGGCAGACUGAGUGACCGGUCCCAAGUCGGGGAGACCGGUCCCUCUGGGCGAAAACUGCCCAGACCGGGCUGAUGUGAAUUUGAGUUUUUGAGGGGCUUUUCUAGAUUUUGUUGCACUAGAUGGUCUAUAUGACCCUUUCACUCUCUUCCCUCCUCAUUUCUCCCCUUCACACCCAUUCUAGAAAGAGAAGAAGAGAGGGAGAAGGAGAGGAAGAAGAAGGAGAAUGAGAGGAUCUUGCUUGGAGGCCUUGGAGCACUAUCUUCUUCCCCAUUUUUCAUCUUUGGCGGACUUGGAGCUUGCCUUUGAAGCUUGGUGGUUGACCAAUCUUCAACCUAAGAGGAUUUUGGACUUGGUUUGGAGCUUCCAAGAGGUAUGUGACUAGUUCUUCUCCUCUAGAUCCUAGUUUUGGAGCUUUUUGCUUGAUGAAACCCUAGAUUGGGAUUCUAGGGUUAGAUUUGGGGCUUUUUGGAUUUGAGGGCUUUGAAACCUAAUUGAUGGGUUUGGAACCUUUAAUUAGGUUGGAUUUGAAGAACUCUAACUCCCAUUUGGAGCUUGAGAGAGGAUUUCUUCACUUAGGUGAGUUUUUCUCCACCUUAGCCUAUGUUGCUUUUGUUUGAGCUUAGGGUUGAUCGUAAGAUUUGUUUGACCCUUGUUCCUACAUCUUUAGGGUGCUAGGAGACUAGUCGACACCUUCGUCGGAGCUUACGAAGGGUUUCGGUAUCAUCGGUGGGUUUGGCUUCAUGAACACGGGGCAAAAUGGCCCCUAUGUUUUCUAUACUUGUCGUAAAGUAUUUUUGAAUGCAAAUCCAUGCUAAAUAUGAAUUAUGUGAAUUUUAGAACACUUGAAAUGCAUGCCUUAUGUAUUCAUGAAAUUGCACUCUAUAUAGUAGAGCUAUAUGUGUAGACUGCAUGCAUUGUGAAAGGUGGUUAGCUUUGCAAGUUGAGAACAUGUCUCCUAUGUUUGAAAUGAGUAGAAUUAUGUAUUCAUGAACAUAGAUACCAUGCUUGGACUCAUUGAACAAUAGUGUCAUAAAGGGGCACUUGAAACUAGUAAACUAUGAAAAUGCAACAUAGAGACAUAGUGAUAGGCCAUUGGACAUCGACUAUAUUCCAUGUUAGAGACAUGACGACAUAGUGAUAGGCCUUUGUGACAUUCGAUAUAUUCCAUGCUUUAGACAUGAGGACUUGGUACUUGAGACAGACUUAUACGCAUGCUUGCCAUUGUGCUCAUUCGCACAUGCUUGUGAGGGUCGCUUCCUACAAGCCGACACUCUGGAGUUGGCCAUCGCGAUACGUUCGCCGUGCGGGAUUGGGCGCCGAAGUGGAUUGCCGUGGGAAAGGCUCAUUCCUAGGGUGGGGAUGUGACUACCACGGGGCCAUUAGGCACGGUAAAGCCAGACAGCCUUCAGGUGGGUCUUAUGCCAGACAGCCUUCGGGUGGGUCUUAUCAGAGUUGAACUUUAAACAGUUAAAGUGACAAGUGGACAUUGGCUAGAAUAGUGAACAUUGACAUUAUUGCUAUUCACAUUGUGGUCAUUGGGAUAGUUGCAUAUUUUUGCAUUUACAUGUUGGAUACUCUUGUGCAUAUACUUGUAGUAGUUCCUUUCUUGCUUAUGCAAAUUCUGCUAAGUAGAGACAUCAUGGUUGAGUAGUAAUCCUGUUUAUUUUCUAGUUGUUUUUAUCGCUUUUGGCUUAUGCUUAUACACUGACCCUUUUGUUGUAGCCUUUGGGCCUAGUGGCGCAUUCACUAAAGUCAGUAAUUGCCCACUGGAAACUAUUAUUUAAUAGUUCUCACGCCCCUAUUUCUAUGUUUUCUUUUCAGAGCCUUCGGCACCGGCGGAGGCACGGGAUCGCGGCAAGGGUGUCGCGUAGUUAGCUCGGAGAGAGAGUCUGUUCUGCUUUAGGUGGUUACUUCUUCUUUGUUUGUGUAGAGAGAAGGAGAGAUUUUGCACCAUGUAUAGAGAGACCACCUUAUAUUCAGACUAGUACUUGUUAUGGGACUCCUUUUGUAUUAUCUUAUGUUUACUUAGUUGAUUACCAGUUUUAUGUUCUUCUCCUUGUUGUAGCACUUCGUAGUAUUUUGCUCCGAUACACUUAGAUGCUUUCUUUUUAUUGUUUUAUUUACCGAUUUAUUUUAGACGCCUUGUAUGUUUAGACGUACGGUGGGUCUAGACACGCGCUGGGCGGGUUCCCGCUGGGUCUCAGGGCGUGACAAACCCAAUCCUGUGGAAGCUACCCGUAGGUAGUCCGGCCUGCGCUGUGCCAACAAUGGCCCCGUGGUAGUCAACAUCCCCACUCUAGGAAUGAGCCUCCCCCACGGUAUCCCAUUUUGGCGCCCAAUCCCGCACGGGCGAGCAUAUGUCGCAAUAGCUAUCUCCGGAGUGCCGACUUGUAGGGAGCGACCCUCACAAGUAUGUGCGAAUGAGCACAAUGGCAUACAGGCGAAUAAGUCCGUCUCAGGUCCCAGUGGUUCAUCACUGUUUCAUCGGAUCUAAAACUCGGAAUACAACACAUGUGCCAAAGGCCUGCCUCUAUGUCAUCGUGUCUAAAAUACGGAAUAUAGUAACUGUCUCAAUGGCCUAUCUCUAUGUCAUCAUGUCUAAAACAUGAAAUAUAACAGAUUUUCAGUGGUCUAUCAUCAUGUCUCUAAAUUGUAGUUCAACGAUUUUCUAGUUCAAGUGCCCCUUUAUGACACUUUUGCUUACUAUGUCCCAAUAUGAAUAAUAAGUCUAAAAGCUUGUCAUUCUAAUCAUUUUCCAUACGAGAAACAUGAUCUUACAUCAUCCAUUUGAACAUUAAACUCAUGCAUACUAACAAUCCAUAUACUUCUCUCUACAACAUAGAGUCAAUUUUUCAUGAUGCAUAACAUAGGAGUUUUAAGCAUUUUAAAAUUCAUAUAAAUUCUGUUCAACAUGGAUAUGCAUGCAUUUAUAGUAUACGAAAAUAUUUAACCACGUAGGAGGUAUUUCCCCCUAUUUCAAUGAAGCCAAACCCACCAAAAGCUCCGGGCGGGCGUCCGAAACGCUAACGAAGCUUCGGUAAUCACUCAUAGCACCCUAAGAGAUAGGCUAGGGGAGUUACUGUAGCACACUGGAUCUUUGCAAAUUGCAAGGUUCGAGUGUUCGAUGUGUAUUCCGAACUUUUCCACACUUGGUGGAGGGCCGUCGAUGGUAUACCGGCCUAAAAGUUCGAUCUCGAGAGUUUUGGACAAGUCCUGAGAGUUUUUACUCUCGGGGACCGGUCCCUGGAAGGAGAGACCGGUUCCCCCAGUGAGCAGUGCUGCGUAGCCGGCGAGGCAACCGGUCCCUGGCAGUCGAGACCGGUUCCCGAGCGCGUUCUCGCAGUGAGAGACCGGUCCCGCGCAGGGAGAGACCGGUUCCCGAACGCUGGGUUUUCGGGUUCGCAGCGAGAGACCGGUCCCUGCUGGGGAGAGACCGGUCCCUCUGGGCGGAAACUGCCCAGUCCGGCUGAUGUAAAUUGGACUAUUUUCGGGCUAGUGAUUUGUGUUACAAGAGAAGCGCAUUAUAUGGCACUUCCCCUUUCCUCUCUCACUUUCACCAUUUUUCUUGCUCUAGAGAGAGAAAGGGAAGGAGUAAGAAGGCAGAAGAAGAGAAGAGGCAGCUUGCAUAGAGCCUGUUGGAGCAUCCCUUCUUCCUCAUUUUCUACAUUUGGAGCUUUGCACCUGCGGUAUGGAGCUUUGUGAAAGAUCAACCUCAACCCUACUUGGUUUUGAACUUGGAUUGAGCUUCUCCUUGAGGUUAGCUUAUAAUCCCCAUUUAAUACAUGUAUUAUCAGGUUUUACUAGAUGAACCCUAGAUUCUGGGAUUCGGUCUUUAUUUGGCGGUUUUUUGGAUUUUGGGCUUCUGAUCUCAUUUGAAUGUUUUGGAACCUUUAAAUAGCGUUAAUUGGGGACCUCUACUAUCAUUUGAGGAUUUGGAGAGGGUUUUCCAACUUGAGGUGCAGUUUUUCCACCGUAGCUUGAGUGUGUAUGAUAUGAGGCUAUACGCUUUUGUUUGUUUGGGUGACCCUACUUUUUGAUGUCCCUAGGUACUUAGGGAGCUGUGGUAUCUUUCGUUUCGGCGAAACAAGAAGUCGAUAUCUUUCGGUGGUUUGGCUGCGUUGAAAGUUCGGGCGAUGCAAUCCCCUAUGCUCUUGUCUAUUGUUGUACAUUGUUUUGAAUUUCAUUUCUAUGUAAUGGCGAUUUAUAUAGAAUUUAUUAGAGCACUUAUAGAUGGCAUGUCCCUAUGGUAUUAUUUUGAAAAAUUUCACUACAUAUAGUAGAGGGCUAUAUGAGUUUAAAGACGCAUGCAUACUGGAAAUGUGCUUAUUUUGCAGUGGGAAAAUAUCUCUUAUGAGGAUUAAUGACUUGAAAUAUGUACUUCUUGGAACUUCGAUUGCCAUGUUUUGACAUAAGGAAACAAGAUGUCCAAUUAACAGGGUCACAUUGAAAUAGUAAACUAUGAACUGCGAAAUAGAGACAUAUUGGUAGAGCACUACAUAUCUGCUCAAAUUCAUGUUAGAGAAUUGAUGUACAUAGCGAUUAGGCCUCGAGGUACUUGACACAUUCCAUGUUUAGAUCAUGAGACUUGUGUACUUGCGGACAGAUCGUUUUGAUUACUUGCCAUUGUGCCAUUACGCAAUGCUUGGUAGGGUCGCUCCUACAAGCCGGCAUCCGGAGAUGGCCAUCCGAUUCAUAUCUCGCCGCUCGGGAAUGGGCGCCGAAGUGGAUUGCCGUGACAGGCUCAUUCCUAGAGGGUGGGAAAUGAUGACUACCACGGACCAUUAGGCUCGGCAGCCGCGCAGAAGCUACGGGUGGGUCUCAGAGCCAUAGACAGGGGUUCGGUGGUCUCUUCUAGAUUCGACUUCAUAUAUCCAUAUGACAUUGGAGCAAUGAUGGACUUAGUGUUACUACGGACAUUGGUAAGAAUAUGUAUUAUCAGCGGACCUCUCUUUUAAACUAUUUCACAUUGUGAACAUCAUGAUAGUUGGAGACAUUUACUUUAUGCAUAGUUGUUUUCAUACUUAUGCUAUUCAUGCUAAGUAGAGAUAUCAUGUCGUAGUAGGUUACAUAUUUACUUACCUGUCGCCUUUCUACUUCUAUAGUCACUGACAUCUUUUGUAGCUUUGGGCCUUGUGGUGCAUUCACUGAAGUCAGUAAUUGCCCACUGGGAACUAUUUUUAAUAGUUCUCAUGCCCCUGUUUUGUGGUUUACUUUUCAGAGCCUUCGGCACCGGCGGAGGCACGGGAUCGCGGCAAGGGGAUCGCUUAGCUAGCUAGCAAGGAGCGGUACUUUGCCUAGGUGGUUACUCUUUCUUUUGUAGUUGAGAGUGUGAGAGAUUUUGUACCUUGUAUAGAGAGACCACCUUGUACUCCUUUUAGCACUUGUUAUGGGAUUCCUGUUGUAUUUACUUUAUGUUUUAUUUAGUGGAUUUACAGUUUUACCUUAUCCUUUGUUGUAGCAUUUAGACAUUUAUUAUGCUCUGAUACUCCUAGAUGUCUUUUAUUAUUGCUUUACUUAUUGUUGUUUUUAGACGCCUUAUACGUUUUAGACGUAUGGCGGGUCUGGGCGCGCGCCGGGCGGGCUUCCGCUGGGUCCCGGGGCGUGACAGUUACAACAUCGAAACGUCAAUUCAUGAGUUCAAACAUUAAGCAACUUAAGAAAAGGGCUAAAAACUCACCGAAAAGUGGUGAAAAUCUCUCUUGAUCUCCUAAAGGGAGCAAGAAUCUUUUCAACCCAACCUACACGAAGGUUCUAAACCCAUCAAUUGGGUCCUAAAGCUCACAAAUCAAAAAUCGCCAAAUUCCAACCUUAAUACCCCAAAUCUAGGAUUUCUACCAACAAAAAGCAUCAAAACUAGGAUCUAGAGAAAAGAAUUUAGCCACUAACCUCUAGAAGGCUUCCAACAAGCCCAAAGUCCACAAGCUCCCAAGAUCUUCCCUCAACGAAGCUCCAAUCAUGAGCUCCAAGCUUCUCCUAUGGAGGAAACCAACAAGGAGCAAAGGAAUAUAAAGAGGAGAAGAUCAAAACAAGCAAAAAUCCAUCAAAAAUGGAGAAGAACCAAGGGGGAGAGUUCUCACCUUGUUCUCACUGAUCUAUGGCUCAAAACCCUGUCUAAGAGGGCUGGGGUAACAUAUAUAGGUGUUGUAACAAUUGCAAAAACACCCCUGCCCGAAAACUGCUCGCACUGCACUAUGUACCGGUACACCGGCUCGCGUACCUGUACUACACCUGCGAAACAGCCAAAUCCGAGCCUCGGGUUUGCAUGAAAUCUGUCUGUGUACCAGUACACCAGCCCUGUACCGGUACAGCCAUCAGCGCGUACCGGUACAGCCAUCAACCCCGUACCGGUACACAGCCCUGCUGAGGCUACUCGAGAGCUGACUAAAAAUCCGACUUUUCGGAUUUUGGUGCUAGGUUUUAAACCUCCAAUCUCGGGGUUCGAACUAUGGGUCGGAACACUAUCCACGACCCUUCACGAAGUGUGAAAAAGUUCGGAACACAAAUCAAACACUCGAACCUCACUAUUUGCGACGGUUCAGUGUGUUACAGCCGUGCUCCCGUGCCUCCGCUGGUGUCGAAGGCUUUGAAAUAAAACCAUAAAACAGAUGGCGUGAGAACUAUUAAAUAAUAGUUCCCAGUGGGCAAUUACUGACUUCAGUGAAAUGCGCCACUAGGCCCAAAAGCUACAAAAGAGGGUCUGUACAAGUACAAACGAAAGCGAAAUAAUGAAUAAGUAUGUAACCAUGAGUACUAUUCUACCAUGAUAUCUCUACUUAGCAUGAACUGCAUAAGUAAUAAAGCAACUACAACAAGUAUGUACAUGAAUGUGACUAACAUGUAUAGGCAUGAGUAUGCAACCAACAUAAUGCCCUCGAUGCAAAUAGUAAAGAUGUCAUUAUUUACUAUUCUAGUCAAUGUCCACUUGUCACUUUAACUGUUAAAAGUUUAAUCUUAUAAGAUCCACCCGAAGGCUGUCUGGCAUGAAGACCCACCCGAAGGCUGUCUGGCCUGUAAGACCCACCCGUAGGCUGUCUGGCCGGUGUCGUGCCUAAUGGCCGCGUGGUAGUCAACAUCCCCACUCUUAGGAAUGAGCCUUUCUCACGGCAAUCCACUUCGGCGCCCAAUCCUGCACGGCGAAUAUGUAUCGCGAUAGCUAACUCCGAAGUGCCGGCUUGUAGGGAGCGACCCUCACAAGCAUGUGCGAAUGAGCACAAUGGCAAGCAUGCGUAUAAGUCUGUCUCAAGUCUCAAGUCCCCAUGUCUAUGAACAUGGAAUGUAUCGAAUGUCACAAAGGCCUAUCACUAUGUCAUUAUGUCUCUAACAUGGAAUAUAGUCGAUGUCCAAUGGCCUAUCACUAUGUCUCUAUGUUGCAUUUUCAUAGUUUACUAGUUUCAAGUGCCCCUUUAUGACACUUUUGUUCAACGAGUCCAAACAUGAUAAUUAUGUUCAUGAAUACAUAAUUCUAACCAUUUCUAGCAUAAGAGAUAUGUUCUCACCUUGAAAAGAUGCACAUCUUUCACAUGCAUACAGUCUACACAUAUAGCUCUACUAUAUAGAGUGAUAUUUAUCUUACAUAUAGCACAUGCAUUUCAAGGGUUCUAAAAUUUUCGUAAAUCCUAUCUAGCAUGGAUUUACAUUCAAAAAGACUUUACGACGAGUAUGCAAUGCAUAGGGGCCAUUUUGCCUCGUUUCCAUGAAGUCAAACCCACCGUAGGUACCGAAACCCUUCGUAAGCUCCGACGAAGGUGUCCACUAGCCUCCUAGCACCCUAAAGAUGUAGGAACAAGAAUUACACAAUCAAAACGAACAUCGAAAGCUUAAACUUUAACCAUCUAAGCAUAGAGGGCAUAACUCACCUCUUGUGAUCAAAUCCCUUCCCAAGCUUUCAAAGAGAGCAAGAACCUUUCCAACCCAACCUAGAGGAAGAUUAUAAACCCAUCAAUUACGUCUCUAAGCCCUCAAAUCAAAAAUCCCAAAAUAAACCCUAAAUCUCAAAUUUAGGGUUUCAUCUCCCAAAAUCUACCAAAAAUAGGUCUAGAGGGGAGAAACAAGCAACUAACCUCAAGAGAAGAUCCAAACCAAGCUCCAAAUACUCUAGGGUUGAAGAUUGAUCCUCUAUCAAGCUCCUAGCCCAAGCCCCAAGCCUCCAAUGGUGAGCAAAAAGGAGAGGAAGAUGCUCCAAGCCUCAAGAUCUUGCUCUUCUUCAACUUCUUCUUCUUCUUCUCCUUCUUCUCUUUCUCUUUCUCUCUCUAGAGUGAGUGUGAGGGAGUGAAAUGAGGGUGAGAGGGAGAGGAACGGCUCUAUAAGCCUUCAAAUGUAACAAAAUCCAUCUAGGUCCCUCUAAAAUACAACCUGUGUACUGCCCGGUCUGGGCAGUUUUUGUGCUGAGGGACCGGUCUCCCCGACACCUAGGACCGGUCUCUCAGCCUGUCCCGCAAAACCAAAGUUCGGGAACCGGUCUCUCCCCGCAUGGGACCGGUGUCACGCCCCCGCCCCGAGGCCGCUACCGAUUUGGCACGGUUCGGGAGCGGCGAACGGACGCCGAACGGACAGCACCUCCCCUGUCCGCCCAAGGCUAAACAACGAGAUCAUGUACAACAAGUCCCCAGAAAAUCAACUUGAAUACAUACAUGAUCAUGCAACAACAGCGAGAGCACAAACAGUGCUGAACAUUACAAGAGCAAGCGUCACAAGUAGAAGACAUACAAGUGAAACAAAAGAGAGAUACUUAACUAUUCUAUUACAACCAUUCAGCUCGAUACAUUUAAUUACAACUUGCAUUCUUUUCCAAACUAUGAAUAUAAGCUUACAUUCUUCAAAAGAUAAACAUUAGUUUACAUUUAUCUCAAAAUACCUCACAUCCUAUACAUCAUCUACUCUCAAUACAUGUAUAGGGUAACUCUAAUGCAAAAUAGGAAAGUAAACUAUCAACUAGCACUAGGGCGCUAAGCCCAUAACGCGAUCCUCUGCCGAUCCGCUCUCGUGUGUACCUGUACCCCAAAACCACACGGGGUGAGAACUAUAUAAAUAUAGUUCCCAGUGGGUUCGGCCGCCGACUCCGCCGAUCUUCCCACUAGGUCCAAGCUGGCACAGAUAGAUAGAUAGAAAGAUAUAUGGAAAUACUACUACUAUAUCUACUAUGCCAUCAAAUGCAAAGUAUGCAUGGAACAUCAUCUAGCAACAAUCUACUAUCAUGCUAAUAUGCCUCAACAGUGAAAUAAAUACAACAACAACAUAGUUAUGCAAUGCACUAUGUCUAAUCAAGGUAUGAAUGCAAUACUCUUAUGCUAUUCAUGUUAUUACCCAAUCCGCUAGGCUAACUUGCCUAAGAUCUCAAAUCUAGUAGGUGAAGAGCUACCUCACUCUUGUCUCACUCGACUCAUAUCUCAAGGGUCUGACCCAAUCUCGUGAGUCCCAGGCAAAGAGCUACCCCGCCCCUCGCCCGACUCACAUCUCAAGGUCCUAGGCAAAGGCUACCCCGCACUUUGCCCGACUCACAUCUCGACCUACUAGGUACAGGGCUACUCCACUCAAAUCUCAUAGGUGAACAACAACAACAACUAUGGAAGCAAGCUAUCAUGAACAACAAUAAUGAGUAUGACUCAAUAGGUACUCAAAUCUCAUAGGUGAAGGAAUAGUAUAUCAUGAAGGCAUGAGCAAUAAGUAAGCUACUAUGAACACUAGUAAGCUACUAUGAACAACAACAACAACUAUGGAAGCAAGCUAUCAUGAACAACAAUAAUGAGUAUGACUCAAUAGGUAACCAAAUCUCAUGGUGAACACAAGGUUCACAAGCAAGGCUCACAUAUCAAUCUCCGAGGGAUGCCUAGCUGGACUAUCCCCGAGUACGCCUGCGGAUAACAAGCGGCUAUCCGAGCAGCAAGCAGGGCUGCCUCUCUAGUGACCAAUCUCCGGAGCGCACAACCUGGGGGGAGCGACCCCACCAAGCGCAGACAGGCAAUGUGAGCGUGAUCAUCUCACGAGCAACAGCAACCUACCCUCUAAGGGUAAUCUCAUCAUGGAAUCAAGGUGUUCUUGUACCCAAUCUCAUAGUGUUUCAACUACACUAAGGUUCUCAUGUCAAGGUUAUCAACAAUCAUAUGCCACUCAUCAUAGUUUUCUAAACUAGAUGCCACUCGUCAUUUAGACUCAUUUCAACACUAGUUACAUCAUACUAGUUCUUUAGCAACAUAAGCAUUAAUCAUCUCACAUAGGGUCUAGGUCUUUAUUAUAGAGUUUUCAUCAUAUAAUCAUCAUGCAUACUAGAUCAUGGAUCAAUCAUCAAGAUGUAUAGCUACUAGCAUGCAAAUAUGAGCAAUGACCACAAUCAUUUAGCAUCUAAAUGCAAUGAAUACGAUAUGCAACUUAAUCGAUUAAUGCAUUCAACAAAGUUUAGAUUAAUGCAUUCAACAAAGUUUAAUCCACAUAAUCAUGCCCUUAUAGGGUUUCACCACACUAAGUCCCAAUCUCAUGCAUACUAGGUACAAGUAUUAAUCAAGUAACACUACACUCCCACUAGCAUGCCAUGACAUGUAACAAUUGCCAACUAGUACCCUAUAAUGCAAUAUCCCAAUAUGCAACUUGAUCAAUGUUAACUAGAGUUUCUAGUACAACAACCAAUCCAUUACUAGUUCAAGUCAUAUGUGUUUUUAGCACAAUAAGUUCAAUGCCACUUGUAAACUAUGUCUUUAAACACAACACUAGGUUCUUCUCUCAUUUAGCAUCAUAGGUUUACCAAUGUCAUCUCAUAAUCCUUAUGUCCAUUACAUCAUAUAUCCAUAUCAUAAUACUAUAUUGAUCAUAAACAUCAUAUAAGGAUUAGGAAUGCAUGUAUUGUCAUCCUAUAAUGCAUAGCAACAUACAAUAUGCUACAUGUGAACGGAUAAGCACUAAGACAUAGGAAGAAGCCCGAUGACUUCGGGAUGGCACUCCCCCACCUUUUAUCGCGUUCCGAUUGCUUGUCGUCACUUGCAAUCGGCCUCCCGCGGCGCACGCCGCUCGGCUUGACCCAAUCCGCGCGCGACCACCAAACGACCUCCGAUCCGCAAUCCGAAAAUUAAAGGUCUUCGGUUUCUUGGUACGAUGCUUCAAAUCCGUUUUCAGGAUUUUACGACGUCGCCUCGGCCCUCCAGGCGGAAACGAAGCCUAACGUCCGUUUCUUUAAUAACUUUGUACCGGCUCGACGAAUCGCCGAACCGUCGCUUCCAACGCGUUCGUAGACCUAGCAAUUAGGUAAACAGAGGGUUAAAAGAGAUCAAACCCAACAAUUUUGAAAGUUAGCAUUUUGAGCCCUAGGUUUACAACUAUGCAAGAAAUCAUUAAAUUGCUCUAUGAUUCAAGCAUUAACCAUCUAUUAGGCAUCAAUGGGUUCCACUAAAACCAUUUCCAAAGCAUUUAGACCUAUCUUUAGAGAUCUACCAUUAAAGCCCUCAUUUUGGAGCUCUAUGUUGCAAUAGGUAAAAAUCCACCAUUAGAACUUAGGAUCUAAGCAUAAAUCAUCUACUUAGCAUCUAGGAAAGCUACUAAUUCGUUUCUAGAGCUUAAAACCCAAGCAAUAGAGAAAUGCCAUUAAAGCUCUUAAAGCUUACCUUCAAAGCAUGCUCCAAUGGAGAGGAAGAAGAUGAAGUUGAUGAAGAUCAACUUCCAAGCUUACUUCUCCACCAAAUCCAUCCAUUUUGGGAGAGAUUUAGAGAGAGAAAAUGGAGGCUUCUCUUUCUCCCUCUUUCCAUGCGUGUGUGUGUGUGGCGUGUGCGUGUGUGGUGUGCGGCCGAAGGAGAAGAAGAAGCAUCAGCUUCUUCAUAAUACCCCUCAAACACUAUUCAUCCAGGCAACUUAAAAUCUGAUAACUUUCGCCGGAGCUCCCUGAAUGUCCGUUUGAGCUCAAACUUGACAGUCAUGUUCGGUUUUACUUAACUUAACAAGCUGACGAUCACUGGUUCAGUUUCGACCCCGUUUGGUCACUGAAAACUGUACCGAACUGCAAUCUUUAUCAGAUAGCUUUCGGAUUUUAUUUCUCACUCUACGGGUGUCAGAAAAAUAUGAAACCUUAAAUCUAGCCUCAUAAAAAUAUUUCUGACAUCUCUGCCAAUUUUCAUAAUUUUCUGAGACUGUGCAUUUUCUGCUAAUUUAUCUGUCCCGUUUCUCACAGAAAAUUCUAAAUCUUCUGUUUUCGCUCUGAUUUCAGCACAGGUCAUUCCCAACCUAUAUUUCACUUCUCUAAAUCCAAUAAAAAUAGUAUCUCAUACUAUUUUUAUUUAUUUUUAUUUUUAUAUUUAAAUCCGGUAUAUUACAUUACACCGCAACCUCACCGGAACCAUUCAAAUGGCUCUCCAACCAAAUGGACACCGUAACCUCAUGAUUUUAGAAGUCCGGUACCUUACAACCGGUCUCUCUCCGCAUAAUCGCGCUCGGGUUCCGGUCUCACCCGCUAGGGACCGGUUGCCUCAAGUUCUGCCGCAACACUAUUCUUAGGGGACCGGUCUCUCCUAUCAGGGACCAGUCCCCGAGAGUGAAAACUCGGAGAACUUGCCAAAACUCUAGAGAUCGAACUUUUAGGCCGGAAUACCAUCUACGACCUUCCACCAAAUGUGGAAAAGUUCGAAAUACAUAUCAAACACUCAAACCUCGCAAUUUGCAAAGGUCCAGUGUGCUACAGAAAUCCACCUAUCCCUAUGUUCAAUGCCGUAAUGUCAACUACACUAAAUUCUCAUGCAAUAAGCCACAACGAGGGAAACUCACCUAUUCCCUAUGCUCAAUGCCAUAAGUGUUUCUUUACACUAUGUUCAAAUGCCACUCACCUAGGUUUAAUCAACCAUAGGUUCAACACUUUUAUCACAUAACCUAGAUUUAACUAACUCUAGAUUCAAUCCUCAACUUAUGUUCCUCAACUAGGUUUAAUGUCAUUCUACCUAGGUCUAACUGACUCUAGGUUCAUUCUCAACCUAUGUUUCAAUGUCAAGCUAUGUUUAACAACACUAGGUUCAUAUGUCAUUCUUAUCCAUCCUAGGUUCACAACACUAGGUUCAUAUCCGACCUAUGUUCGAUAACACUAGGUUCGAUGCCACUCGAUCUAUUCGACACCUAAUUGUCCACAUCGAGUUUCUAUAAUUACAUAUUCUCUAGCAAUUGCCCACAAUACCAACAUGCAUCUCAUCUAACAUAACAACUAUAUGUUAAUAUGCAUGCUCUCUAUCAUGAUCUCAUGAUGCUACUAUGCACCUAGCAUAUAAUCCACAAUGCAUAUAUAUUCAACAUUAUGUCCCAAUACCUUUAUCAUCUUAGCAUAUUCUAUUUACAUGCCUUAACACGUUCAUGAUGCCAUCUUGCACCUAUUCCAAUCAAGCUAACAUGCAUAUAUAUUCAUCCAAGGUAGCUAUUACAUAGUAUCUCAUGCAUUCACCCUAAGCAUUCACCUAUGCAAUCAACUACUAUUACAUAUAUAUAUGCAUCAACAAGAAAGCACAUUUCUCUUCAACAUGCAGGCAACCUAGUCGCUUUGGUAAGUAUUAAGGAUUUUAUAGGUUGACGGAUUUCGUAGAGUUGAAUGGAGUCUUGAAGAGUUGAUCGCGGAAGUUUGAAGAAAAGAUUCAAAUUGAAGAAUAAAGACUCAUUCGGAAAGCUCGGCACUUCAGGUAUGAAGAAUAGAUGAUUUAUAGUGAAGAUGUUUAAUUAUAAUAAGUUCAGAAGGCUUAGAUUGCUUUAAAUCUCUUUUACUGAACUUUUAUGUGUUCUGGGACCGGUCCCUGAGUUGAAGAGACCGGUUCCCUUAAGGUCCUCACUGCGUGAAUGUUGAGGCAACCGGUCCCCUGAGAUGAGAGACCGGUUCCCAAACAUUGGUAGUUUUGUCACGCAGCGAGGGACCGGUCUCUGGCUUGAGAGACCGGUUCCCGAACGUUGUGAUUUUUGUCACGCAGCGAGGGACCGGUCUCUCACAGACCGGUCUCCUCGAGAGGACCGGUCUCUGGGGACGACACAUGUUUUUAAAAAUGACUUUUUGCAAUCCUAGUCUACUUCUAAGUUUUCUAAACAUAUAAAUAAGCUAUGGGGGUCAUCUUAAAGUUUAAGGCUUUGAAUUUUUACUCAUUCUAAACCCCAGAAACUUGGUUUUUCCGUUCUUAUGGUUCUAUUCUAAAUAACAAGUUUCUAAUAAUCAACAUCGACUUGAUUCUUUGUUUUUACUCGUGAUCUUAUACGAGAAUCAAGUAGAUGAUUGAUUAAAAGAUAGACCCUCAUCGCUUAUGGGAUUCUAAAGCUUAAUCACCACAAAUCUUCUAUUUUACAAGCUCCGGAAGGAGAUUCGGCGCGUGGAUCUCGCCUGUAGCCGAGGAUUCGGUGGACGCUUCAAGGAGUUGAGGCGUUGACGCUGCGAGGAGUUGCGGCGAGGUCGAUUGGAGGAUUCCUAUCGAUCGAGGACCGGCGAAGAUCACCAUCAACAGGAAAUCGGUAAAUUGAGUCGUGUAUUUUUGUCAAAAUCAGUUGUAUUCAAGUUUUCUUAGUGGAUUUUCUUCGUGUGGUCGGUCCCGUGGGUUUUUCACUCCGGCUUGGAGUUUUUCCACGUUAAAUUCUCAGUGUGCUGUUUUUUAUUUUCCGCUAUUCAUUUUAUUUGCAUCGAGAUUUUUGAGUUUGCCGUUUUUACACCUAUUCACCCCCCUCUAGGUGUUACUUACCUUUUAGAUUCUCGAGAUCCAUAUCUUACAAGUGGUAUCAGAGCAAGUAUAGGUUGUAAUUCAUGCCAGAGGGCGGUAACAUCAAUCGACCCCCUCUCUUCGAUGGCACUAAUUAUGCUUAUUGGAAAGUCCGUAUGAGGGCGUUUCUUAUUGCCAUCGAUGAGCGGGUAUGACAAGCCAUUGAAUUCGGGUGGAAACAUCCUACCGAAGUUGUCAAGAAAGUUACCGGUCCGAAACUGAGAAAUAAGUGGACGAAAGUGGAAAACGAAUUACCUUCGUUCAACGGAAAGGGUAUCAAUGCUUUAUUUAAUGCUUUAAAUCAAACUAAAUUUUCUUGUGUCUCGGCGUGUGAAACCGCUAAAAAAAUUUGGGACACUUUACAAGUUACGCACGAGGGUACAAGCUUGGUAAAGAUUCAAAAAUUGCAAAUGCUUACUAGUAGAUUUAAUUCUAUCCAUAUGGAAGAACAUAAAUCUUUUACCGAGUAUUAUACUCGUUUGCAAGACAUUGUAAACACGUGUGCUAACUUGUGCGAGAAAAUUCUCGACUCCAAAAUUGUUCGAAAAAUUUUGAGGACCCUUCCCGAAUGAUUUCGUCCUAAGGUUGCGGCUAUUGAAACGGUUAAACAUCCGGAUGAACUCAAGGUAGAAGAAUUAGUAGGUGCUCUUCAAACUUAUGAGAUGACUUUUCCUUCUAAUUCGUCUUCUUCCAAGUCUUCUUCUAAAGCUUCAGGGAUGGCUCUAAAAUCAACAAAAGGAGAUGUCACUUCAACUUCAUCGGACUCGGAGUCGGAGCAAACCCUAGAGGACUUUGAAAAGCAACUAGCACUUCUAACAAAGAAGUUUCGUCGGAACUUUAGAAAAAAGUUUCCUCCCAAGUCUACUUCUUCCAAGUCAAGUAAAUCUAAAGGGAGUUCAGUUCGUCUUCGUCUUCAUCAAAAUUCAGAAAAUUGGAAAACCCUCAAAAGGACUCUACUAAAGAGAAGAAAAGCAGUGAAGCCCAAAUUCAAUACUAUAAAUGUAGGGGUUUUGGCCAUAUUGCAUCGGACUGUCCAAAUAAAAAGUCUUUGAAGAAGAAAGCGAUGCAGGCUAUUACUUGGGAUGACUCCUCUUCUGACGAUUCAACUUCCAGUGAUGAGGAUGUCAAUGCCACGGCACUGAUAACACAGGAUUCAACCUUCAUGUGUUUGGCAUCUGCAGAUUCUCUCUCAAUGUCGUCUAUACAUGAAAAAUCUUCUUCGGAGAAAUCAUCGGAUGAAGAAUCGGACAAAGAUGACAUGGUCGCAGCAUAUCAUCAAUUGGUAAUCGAAUCAAAGAAGGUGGCAAAACAUAACAAGAGGCUGCGGCGGAGUCUACAUGAGUUGGAACAAGAAAAUUUGAGGUUGGUCUCAUUAUCAAAGGAUCUAGAACAAGAAAGAGAUGGUUUGACUGAGGCCUACAACUCUUUAUUUGAGAAGUGUUCGUUACUUGAAAAGGAAAAAGAGACUCAUGUUGAAAACAUCGAUUUUCUCACCAAGCAAUACUCGGAAGCUAGAGAAGCAAAUAUGGAAUUCACCAAGACAAUCAUUCAAUUAAAGUCGGAUUUGAACCAAUUUUCGUCUGGCUCGAGCAAACUUGACAAGAUGCUUGGACUUGGUCAAACAAAUAAACUUGGACUUGGGUACGAACGGACGUAUAUUGAUCAAGCAACGAAGAAAGAUGAUGAACAUUCGUCAAAAACAGUUCCUAAGCUUUAUGGUAAGUUCGUCCCUCCUAAAAACAAUUUGACUAACAAAACUUGUCAUAUUUGUGGUGUUUUAGGACACAUAAAGAAAUUUUGCAAACAAAAGGGAAAGAGCUCAACAACACCCUUGAACCAAAGAACAUCACCCAUGAAGAAUGAUCCUAUAUCAAAAGGGAAGUCAACUUGGACUCCAAAGAAGGUUGAUCAUAAGAAGAAACAAACAUGGACACCAAAUGCGCCGAAAUCAAAGGCAAAACAAGCAUGGAAACCAAAGAAGGAGGAUAUGAAGAAGAAGUCAAUUCAAAUCGUCGACAAGCCAACAUCAACAAAAGCAAGCAAACCGUCGCAACCCAAAACACGUAAGGUUUGGGUGCGCAAAGGUGAACUCUUCCCAUGCCUAGUCAUUCACACUUCGCUUCAUGCUUACGAUAAUACUUCAUGGUAUCUGGAUAGUGGUUGUUCCCGUCACAUGACCAGAGAUAAAAAUUGGUUUACUUCUUUGAACAAAAUCUCCGGAGGACUUGUUGUUUUUGGAGACGGUCGGUCGUCAAAAAUCGUUGGAAAAGGAACAGUGACUAUCUCAGAUGGCCCUACUUUGAAUGAUGUUUUCUAUGUUGAGGGGCUUAAAUCUAAUCUCGUAAGCAUAAACCAACUGUGUGAUGAUGGGUAUUCUGUGACUUUUUUCGAUAAAGAAUGUCAUGUGACUCGUGAUGACAAUCUGUUCUUGAAGGGCAUUAGAUCUCAGAAUAACUGUUAUGUAGUUCCUAAUUCUUCGACUGAACAUUGUAACCUAGCGUCAUUAGAGACUGAAACUUUAUGGCAUGAACGACUAGGUCACAUAAAUUUUAAGGAGCUAUCCAAGAUAACAAAGAAGGAGGUUGUUAGAGGUGUACCUAAGAUAGACUUCAAAGAGAACACUGUGUGUGGGGGUUGUCAAUUAGGGAAAAAAACUAGAUCCGCACAUAAGAAUUUGAACCACUUAGGGACAUCUAAGCCUUUAGAGUUAUUUCACAUGGACUUAAUAGGACCAUCUAGGAUCCAAAGUUUGGGUGGAAAACGAUAUAUCUUGCUUAUUGUUGAUGAUUUUACUCGUUUUGUAUGAAGUGCCUUCUUACGAGAAAAGCUGAUACUUUUGAUUCUUUUUCUUAAAUCUGUCUUCGUCUUAUGAUUGAAUGGAGUAAUAAAAUUGUACGUAUUCGAAGUGAUCAAGGGGGAGAAUUCAUAAAUUCAAAAUUUGUUGAUUUCUGUGUUUCAAAUGGCAUAAAACAUGAAUUCUCGGCUUCUUAUACACCCCAACAAAACGGAGUGGUUGAACACAAGAAUCGGGUUGUACAGGAGAUGGCUCGUGUUAUGCUUCAUAGUAAGAAAAUCGCUUUACACUUUUGGGCCGAAGCAGUUAACACGGCUGUCUAUGUUAUCAAUCGAAUUUAUGUGCGCCCGAGUACUUUGAAUACUCUGUAUGAACUUUGGCUUGGUAGGAAACCUAAUAUUAAAUACUUUCGUGUCUUCGGGAGUAAAUAUUUUAUCCUUCGGGAUCGUGAAAAUCUUGAAAAAUUUGACUCUCGAAGUGACGAAGGGAUUUUUCUUGGUUAUUCUACUACAAGUCGUGCUUAUCGUGCAUACAAUUUACGAUCUAAGACGGUGAUAGAAUCUAUCAAUAUAAAAGUAGAUGAAGCUUCUUCUGUAAGUUCUUCUGUGAAUGGUUCUUCUACUUCUUUGGUGAAUGAUGAUGAUAAUGAUUCUCCGUUUAUAUUGCCUGUGAAUGAUGAUGUUUCUGCACUUGACAAUUCUAUUGCAUCUUCUGAAAAUGUUGCAUCAAAUGAUUCAUCUGAGCCUCAAAGCACGUCAUCUGAAAUCCCUAGUAUAACUUCUGAGACUACACCCCUGACAGAGUCAAGAGAUCAUCCUUUAUCGAAUGUCAUUGGGGAUCCUAAUGUUGGUGUGCGAACAAGAAGUCAGCUAUAAUGUGAAUUUGCAUGUUAUGUUUCUCUGAUUGAGCCAAAGAAUAUUGACGAAGCUCUACGUGAUGAAUAUUGGAUAAAUGCCAUGCAAGAAAAACUUGGUAAAUUCGUUCGCAAUGAUGUAUGGGAAUUAGUGCCGCAUCCUGAGCAACAACACAUAAUAGGUACCAAAUGGAUCUUUAAGAAUAAGAAAAAUGAGGAUGGUACUAUUGUUCGGAACAAAGCGAGACUUGUUGCUCAGGGCUACUCGCAAAUUGAGGGAAUAGACUUUGAUGAAACCUUCGCCCCAGUUGCCCGUCUUGAAUCAAUUCGUAUUUUGUUCGCGAUUACUUGCCAUUUUAAAAUCACUUUUUUUCAAAUGGAUGUUAAAAGUGCAUUUCUAAACGGAUUUUUAAAAGAGGAAGUUUAUGUUGAACAACCGAAAGGUUUCAUAGACUCAAAAUUUUCAAAUCACGUUUUUCGACUGAAAAAGACACUUUAUGGACUAAAGCAGCCUCCGCGAGCAUGGUACGAGCGCUUGACAAAAUAUCUUUUGGAAAAGGGCUACAACCGAGGGGGAGCGGAUGGAACUCACUUUGUAAAACGCUUAAAGAAUGAUUUCAUUGUGGCACAAAUUUAUGUUGAUGACAUAGUCUUUGGGGCAACUAAAGAUAAGGAUGCCAAUGAUUUUGCAAAAUUGAUGACAAGCGAGUUUGAAAUGUCGAUGAUGGGGGAGCUUAAUUAUUUCCUUGGACUUCAAGUUAAACAAACUAAAGAUGGAAUUCACUUGUGUCAAUCCAAAUAUGCGAAAGAUUUGGUUAAGAAAUUUGAAUUGGACAGUGCAAAGAAUUUUGACACUCCGAUGGGUACAAGUAAGAAGGGACUUGGGGUGAAUUCGGAAGGAAAGAGCGUGGAUGAGAAACAAUACAGAAGCAUGAUUGGAAGCCUAUUGUACUUAAUUGCGAGCAGACCAGAUAUUGCUUUUAGUGUUGGAUCAAAAACGUUUUCUGCAUUUAAGAAAGGCUAUUGGUAUGAAUCCUUCAAUCUAGAUAUAUUCUAUUGGGCCAUAGAUCAUGUGCAUGUUAAAUUUUGUUUAUGUGCAUGGUUUCCGAUUAUGGUUGAGAGAUGAUUAAAUUUCUUGAAUAAUGUUGCUGUUUUUGGGAGAUGAUUUGGUCAGUGUUAGCUCAGUUGUUUGAUUUUAAUUGUUUCAUAUUUAGUUUUUGAUUGAUCACUGUCAAGGUUGUUCUCUAUUGUCAUAAUUUUUGAAUGAUCAAAUCAUUGAAAUUCUGUUUAGCAUACUGAAUCAAAUUCAACACCUCAUACUUCGAACUUUGAAUGUUGCAAUUGUUUGUUUGAUUAUUAGUUAUGAGAUGAAUAACUCUUUCUUUGUUUUUGAAAUUGCAAUAAUAUUUUUGACUUGAGGGUUGCACUAAUUUAGGGGGAGUCUUUCCGAUUUUGGAUAUGAAAGUUUCUGAAAUUCAAGAUGUGGAAAGAGUUACAUCCCUGCUGGGAGUGUGAAAACUACCACCACAUGGAGGAAAGAGUUACCACCCCGGUCGUCCGGUCAGUGUGUGCAGCUACCACAUGUUGAUUAAAGUAUCUCUAUAAGACAAAAGGAAAGUACCUUUCAGAGAAAAAAAAAAUUUUGCUCAAAGAGCUAUACAUCUCGUAGGUGAUAUAAGGUGGUAUAUUAUUUAAAAAAAAAAAAAAAGAAAGAAGAUGCUCAAAGAGCCACUCCUGUCUCGAAUAUUGUGCAUAACUCAAUUUGAACAUAUUAUUUUAAUUUCACGAUUCUGAGAAUUAUUUAUACAUUUUCUUUAACAAAUAUGAUGAUAGAACGAUACAAUUAAUUUCUAGAUCUUGCAUGAUGUGUAGAAUUUUAUUUUAUAUGUAUCUAGAAUUUUCAUUGAUUUUCGGGUCAACAAUUUUGACAAUUUGAAUAUCCUUGAAAUUGAUUUUUCAAAAUUUAUUUAUGAAAUUUUAUUUGAAGUUUUUGGGGAUGAAAAUUGGUUAUUUUUGUUGAUUGAACAUUGUGGAAUAACAUACAUUUUUGCUGAAAUUUUUGGAGCUUAAUUUAAAAUUUUUUAAAAAUUCUAGGCUCUGGGACCAGUCCCAGGCAGGAGAGACCGGUCCUUCCGCCCGACCCGAUAAAGGGGUUUUUGUUCGAUGUGUCUUGUACGCAUUUCAACCUUUUCCCUGCUUCUUCUCUUGCGUUUCUCUUGCCUCCAGAUUGGUUUUUUACUCACGUUCCUCGUGGAUUUGUACUGAUUUUAGGUAUGAUUUUCGAAUUUUGUUGCAUUUUUAUCAUAUACUCCGAAAAUGUGUUUUGUUUCAGAUUUUUUGGUGUUUCUUCUAAAGAUCUAGCUAAAUCUGCCUUAAUGUGCUUUGAUCUUGUUCUUAGACCUGUUGUUUCCAUAUUCUUUUGUAUUUCUUCAUCUUUUUGGUCAAUUCUUGUAGGUUUUUCAUCAUCAAAACCUAGUUUUUCUAAAAUUUUUGUGGACAAUUUGUUUUUGCUGAUUUUGAUGCAUGAUUUGUUUUGGUUUCUCAUGAAUAUGUGGCCCCUAGGAUUAUCUAGCAUUUAUAUAUCAAUUUGCUGAAAUUUUUUUUGGAAUCAAAAAUUAAGUGUUCUUAUGUUUCAUAUGUAAAAAUCCUUAUGUUUAACAGGGGAUUUCUUCAAAAUGUAUUCAUGGUUACUUGUGCUUGUGGUUCUGAUGGCCGGGGGUGGUCGCAGAAGCAAACGACAGCGCUCUUCGGGUAAACGGCCAAUUGAGCAACAACCGGAAGAUGAAGGGAGCGAAUAUGCUCCUGGCGACGAAUCUGAGGAGGACGAGCCGGACUGGGAGGCUUUUACUCCAGAGGUGUUGGCUAAGGAUAAGGAUGCAAGAAAAGGAAAGGACAAAGGAAAAGCCAUUGAUAAAGGGAAAGGCAAAGCCAUGGAUAAAGGAAAAGGAAAGGCAUCUGGAUAUACCGAUCGUCGAAAAUCUGGAGGUGUUGAGAUUAGAGAACCGGGUUCUGAGGCUCCGCGUCUCAGUCUGCAAGAUGUUCCGUUUGCUCGAAGGUCAAUGUACUCGUCGAAACAUUGUAUUGGUGAGCGCGAUGUUGGCGUUGCCAGUAUCAUUGACUGUAUGCCGGGAUUUCAGGAUUUAUUUGAAAAAAAAAAAAUCUUCAUCAGAUUUGUAAUUUUCCGGAACAAACUGGUUUCUGUUUGGAGCUAAUUAGAGAGCUCUAUAUGAGAGCAGGUCACUUGAGUGACUCAGACGGUGGUCCGUAUCUAUUUACUACUUUUGUCCGUGGGGUUGAGCUGUCGAUCACUCCCGAUACUAUAGCGUCUGUGCUAGGAAUGGAAGCAAGGACUGAAGGCGUGAAGUAUCUACAGGCCGGGUUUGACUCACUUCGGGAUUGGAACCGUGUCGUGAACUCUAUUUGCAUGCCGGGAACAGAGUCAAACGGAAUUAUGGUUUUAUCCAAGGAUUUCAAAAUGGAGUACAGGUUCUUGAACUUCGUGGUUUGCUACAACAUUUUGCCUCUCGCAAACACGAAGAUUUUGAGAUGGGAUCGCAUCUUGUACAUGUAUCUAUUGGCUAGGUCGGAUAUUGUAAGUGCGAAAAAUAUCAACAUGAAUAUCCCAUUUUUGAUCUUGCGGAGAAUGGCAAAGGAUAUCAAAACUUCAGGACAGAAUGAAAGAUUGCCAUUUCCACUGAUUAUCAUGCGAAUUCUGCGACUCCAUGAGGUGGAUGUUCGUUGUACAUCCUAUGAGCAUAGCUUGGGAAGGAUCAAUGAAAGGACGUUCGUGAAGUCCUCUGUGCAGCUUCGAACUCCGUCCCAGCGUGCUUCUUCACCUCCUGCUGCUCCACCUCCUGCUGCUCCUACUUCUUCCCGUCCUUCCAUGGAUAUUUCUGAGGAGGAUGUCUCGGUAUCGCUAGUAUAUCGUGAGCAACAGAGGUUAUCUGAAGAGCUUCAAAAGCUUUCUGUGAUCAAGCUCAGAUACGGAAAGAUGUGAGCAAAAUCAAGCGACUGAUGAAGGCUAUCUUUGACAAAUUAGGAUGUUGCAGCUCAGAUAUUCCUCCAUAGGGUGACGAAUCUGACUGACUGUGUGGGGUUCCUCCUUUUGUCAUUUUGGCGCUUUCUGACAAAAAGGGGGAGAUGAUAUGUUGGCUCAUGAUGAUGAUGAUGUCUGAUGAUGAUGAUGCUAUGAUGAUGUCUGAUGAUGAUGAUGCUUUUAGAUGAUGAUGAUGUUUUUUUUUUAUGCUUUUAGCUUAGUUGUGUAAAUUUAGAUUAGAUGGUUGCUUGGAUGAACUAUGAACUAUGACUUGUUGCUUUGAUUGCUUUGACGUUUAUGUUUGAUCUUUUAUGAUAAGUUUGCUUGAAUCUUGAUUGUGUUUUAAGAAUGUUUUUGCAGUAAUUGUUCAAGACUUCAAGACUCCAUGUCUAAGUCAUAGAGUAUGUAUUAAGGUUGUGAAAAAUAUAAUUUUCGUUUAUUGGAUCGAUCAUACAGGAGAUUAUCGUUUCGUGAUUGCGAUGAUCUUCUUUUUAUUGUUUCUAAGUUGUGUACGAGCUUUGUAGUAUAUUUUGUCACGAAAUCGCCAAAGGGGGAGAUUGUUAAGGAUUUUAUAGGUUGGCGGAUUUCGUAGAGUUGAAUGGAGUCUUGAAGAGUUGAUCGCGGAAGUUUGAAGAAAAGAUUCAAAUUGAAGAACAAAGACUCAUUCGGAAAGCUCGGCACUUCAGGUAUGAAGAAUAGAUGAUUUAUGGUGAAGAUGUUUAAUUGUAAUAAGUUCAGAAGGCUUAGAUUGCUUUAAAUCUCUUUUACUGAACUUUUAUGUGUUCUGGGACCGGUCCCUGAGUUGAAGAGACCGGUUCCCUUAAGGUCCUCACUACGUGAAUGUUGAGGCAACCGGUCCCCUGAGAUGAGAGACUGGUUCCCGAACAUUGGUAGUUCUGUCACGCAGCGAGGGACCGGUCUCUGACUUUAGAGACCGGUUCUCGAACGUUAUGAUUUUUGUCACGCAGCGAGGGACCGGUCUCUCACUUGUGAGACCGGUCUCUUACAGACCGGUCUCCUCGAGAGGACCGGUCUCUGAGGACGACACAUGUUUUUAAAAAGGACUUUUUGCAAUCCUAGUCUACUUCUAAGUCUUCUAACCAUAUAAAUAAGCUAUGGGGGUCAUCUUAAAGUUUAAGGCUUUGAAUUUUUACUCAUUCUAAACCCUAGAAACUUAUUUUUCCCGUUCUUAUGGUUCUAUUCUAAAUAACAAGUUUCUAAUAAUCAACAUCGACUUGAUUCUUUGUUUUUACUCGUGAUCUUAUACGAGAAUCAAGUAGAUGAUUGAUUAAAAGAUAGACCCUCAUCGCUUAUAGGAUUCUAAAGCUUAAUCACCACAAAUCUUCGAUUCUACAAGCUCCGGAAGGAGAUUCGGCGCGUGAAUCUCACGUGUAGCCGAGGAUUCGGUGGACGCUUCGAGGAGUUGAGGCGUUGACGCUGCGAGGAGUUGCGGCGAGGUCGAUUGGAGGAUUCCUAUCGAUCGAGGACCGGCGAAGAUCACCAUCAACAGGAAAUCGAUAAAUUGAGUCGUAUAUUUUUGUCAAAAUCACUUGUACUCAAGUUUUCUUAGUGGAUUUUCUUCGUGUGGUCGAUCCCGUGAGUUUUUCACUCCGGCUUGGAGUUUUUCCACGUUAAAUUCUCGGUGUGCUGUUUUUUAUUUUCCACUAUUUCGUUUUAUUUGCAUCGAGAUUUUUGAGUUUGCCGUUUUUACACAUAUUCACCCCCCUCUAAGUGUUACUUACCUUUUAGAUCCUCGAGAUCCAUAUCUUACAGUAAGCACAACCCACCUCGAUUCGCUCUCCGAUUGCUUGUCGACACUUGCAAUCGCCCUCCUACGGCACCCGAUACCUGGUUUGGCCUGAUCUUGCAGUUGCGCACCAACUGUGCGUCGAAUCGCGACUCCGAAAAUUAUAGGUCUACGGUUUACCGCCACGGUGAUCCAAAUCCGUUUUCACGAUUUUUGGACGUCGCAUCGACCCUCGAGGGGGAAACGAAGCUAAAUCGUCAGUUUCUUCAAUAUCUUUACAACGGCUCGACGAAUCAUCGAACCAACUUCGCCAACGCGUUCGUGUGCCUAGCAAUUAGGUUAACAGAGGGUCAAUUGAGAUCAAACCCUACUAUUUCUCAAAACUCCGUUUCGGAGCCCUAGAUGCCAUUAUUGCUAAAUACCCCAAAUCAAUCCAAGAUUUAGACAAUAAUCAUCUCAUUAGCAUCCUAGGAUUCCAAAAAUAUCAUUUCUAGAGAUCAAAUCCCAUAUUCUAGAGUUCUACCACUAAUGAGUAUCAAAGCUUACCUCAACUAAGCUUCUUCUCCAAGCAGAGGAAAAAGAAGAUGAUAGCAACCCUUCUUUAAGCUCCAAUCUCCACCCUUCUCCUCGUCUUGAUCCACCCCUUAGAGAGAGAAAGAGAGCUUAGAGAGAGAGAGAGGGGGAGUGUUUUUGGAUUUGCAAGGUGAGAGGGAGAGAGCAAAUGAGCUCUCUAUAGCUCAUAUACACUCACAUAAUACGCAAAAGUGCAAAUAAGUCCCUCAACUUUCAUUUUAGUGCACUGCCCCCGCGGGGCCAUUUUUUGUAUAAGGGAUCGGUCCCUGGACUUGAAGGACCAGUCCCCAUAGGUCCAGAAUUCCAACAUUUUUAGGACUUAGCCAAAUUUCAGCCUUUUUCGUUUCUUCUCCGUUUUCGCUCAUUUUCGCUCGUUUGGCCUCCGAUUCUUUUCAAAUCGAACCGAGACUCUCCAAACAUGUUUUCGAGUGUAUUUUCAUCAUCUUUUCAUUCGCGCUAAUACCGGAUUUAGUCCAUGGUCCAACGUAGCCUUUCGGGUCCCGUUUUCGCGCCUGCGCGCUCCGAAAACGCCCGAAUACUCCCGAACUUCACCAAACUUCACCGAAACUAUUCAAAUGGCUUUCCAACCAAAUGUAUACCAUAACUUCAUAAUUUUAGAAGUCCGGUACCUUACAUGUCCCCUCCCAGAGGGACCGGUCCUUGAGAGCACAAAACUUGCAAUUUGUGCAGAUUUUGCACAACUUGCUCUCGCGGGUCCUCCUCAAUGCACUUUAUGCAUUUUUGAUGACUUCGGCUUUUCCGAAGCACACCAAGUCGACAACAAGUCGAUUCUAAACGAAGUCUAACUCUCGGAUUUCGAGAAUUCACUUCCUUACAGAUACCUUCCUUAUGCAAUCGGUAUGUGAAUUCUGUUCCUGUUUGGAACCUCUUGAAUUGUACUGUUUGCGAUGCCUUGGACGUACAAGAGAGAAUCUGUCCAUUCGGCGAUCUGUCGACGCACCCGAAUCCGACCAAAGAGGCGGGUCUCGAUGCGUGACAUCACUUUACAAUAGUAGCUUCCUUGGUGAUUAUCGGUGGAUGUUAUUCAUUGUUAUCUUACCCGAUUUACUUGUUACUAUUACUGUUUACCCCUCCAUCUGUUGGUGGCUACAGCUUGCCUUCGUCGACUUGCGAUACCCACUGGGAUGGGGAGACUUGUUUAGAUGUUCUCACCCCUACCUUUUUCAAGUGAUGCGGAUGGGAUUGUUUGGGACAUAGCGUGAGGCAGUAGCUAGUGAACGGUUAUAGAGGUCUCGAUCUACGGUAUACCUUUUUGAUUACUUCAUACAUAGUAUCAGAUAGAUAUUAGUGGAUAGUAUAUAUCUUACCCUACACUGGUUAUUAUAUAUCUUCUUGUGGUUUAGUUGAUGGUUUACACUUGUGGUUUUGGAUGAUGUAUGUAUGAGUUUUGGAUACUCAUGGUUUUGGAAUACUCAUGGUUUUUGGAUACUAAUGGCUUUGGAUUCGGAUUUCGGAAUGUAGUUUUCUACCCCUCGUGGUAGUGUUUUCAAAACAAAGAUUUUCGUGUGGAAAACGGUUUUCAAAAUAGUUUUUUGUGGUUUUUGCAAAGUUAAAAUUUCAAAAAAAAAUGUCUUCGUGUGGGAGACACUUUUAACUACUAGGAUGAUUGUGGAAUGGAUGUGACUAAGGACAGCUAGCUGUAUGUUGAAAUGAGUUGAUCCUUGUACAUCCUUUUGUUUUAUGUGUGAAUGAAGAUCUAGUUGUUCAAUUGUACUAUGUGCUGCGCCGUGCAAAUAUAGGGGAGACUCUAUCUAUUUGUUUCAGGAAUUUUCUACAUUUGUGGUGGGUCUGUUGCACGUCUUUGGGGUCAAGGUUUCAAAAAAAAAGGGGGCAAUUUUCUGCUUACUUUGAUUUUUAAAGAUAUUCCGAUUUCAAAUUAGCUUUCAAAAAAGACUCCGGGCCGUGACAACAAUACAUUCAUUGGUGUGACGAUUUAGCUAGCCUGGGUUAGGAUCGAUGUUAGUCGAUGAAAGUGCUAGUGAGUAUAUUAAAGGCAUUGGUGGGUGUGGUGUAAACUUAGGGCAUGCUUGGUUCAUGAUUGGAAUAGGAAUGUGAAAUGAAAUUGGAUUGCUUUGAAAUAGAAAAUAGAAUGACAAAUCAUUCAAAAAUAUUUGGUUCAUUAUUGGAAUGAAUAUCGGAAUGAAAAUUUAGAAUUUUUGAAUCGGGAUUUUAAUUAAGAAAUAGAAAAGUAAUAAAAAGAGAGGAGGUGUUGAUGAAGGAAGAUUUUAAGUAGUUUACUUUAAAAUGGGCCAAUCCGAGAUUCAAAGCCGGAUUGGGCCAUAAAUAGAUUUGGUCAUUCCCAUUCCAGAGUGGAAUGGGAUUCGGAAUCCGAUUCCUAUAAAACAAACAACAAUCGGAAUUAAUAAAUCCCAUUCCGAUUCCAUAGUCUAAAAUAGGUGAACCAAACAUGCCCUUAUAUCAUUGGUAAGACAUAGUGUCGAACGAUUUUAUAUUAAGGAUGAUUAGGUGGCAAAUGGUGUCUAUUAAUUGUGUCAAGGAGAAUGGUUGUCAGUGGAGGUGUUAGUUAGGAUAGUAAAUUAAGCACAGGUGAGCAUAGUGUGAACUUUUGUUAAUAAGGUAUAGAAUCAACACGGACGGUGUACGUAGGUGGCAAAUGGUAUUUGUUGGCAGCACAUAUAUAUAUAUAUAUAUAUAUAUAUAUAGCUAAGUAUCAUCAUCGAUUCUGCAUAAUGCUACAAAUAAUAAACUAUAGGUGGGUGCAAAUGAUAAUUAUGCAGAGAGGUCGUGUUUCGUAAUUGAUGAAGAAAAGUUAAUCUGUUAACAUAUUUUAUGAAGGAUGAUGAAUAUAUAUGCUAAUAAUAUAUUGAUAUGAUUAUUAUAUAUAUAGCUGGCAUUGCUAUUAUUCAGUAUUGAGUAUGUAUCAAUAUGGACAUUAAUCCGUACUCAAUUAAUUUGUAUUUCUUCCACUUCAUGUGCGUACGUAGCACUUCUAGCUAGAUGAGACUUCUAUCUAUGCGUCUACUGUCCAUCCAAUUAUGAGAUAUCGUGGUAUUGUAUGGUCUUCAUACGUUUUAUUGGAUAAAAUAUCUAAGAAAUAUUUCAGAAAAAAAAAAAGCUACGUCGUAAGACAUCAUAUAUAUAUAUAUAUAUAUAUAUAUAUAUAUGAUUUUGAAGAGUGAAUGAGCAUCCAUCGACACAACCCACUUCGCUGCUGCCGCUGCGGGGAAUGAGUGAGUAAGCGUAAUAGAUGGGAACGGAUUUUAUGCUACCCCCUAGAAAAGGGAAGGGAGCUCACGACAUCCACACAAACCCGUAGGUGGGAAAGAAGAGGCGGGGUGAUCAUUUGGAAUGGAGUAAAAAAAUAAUAAUAAUAAUAAUAAUAAUUACUGACUUAUAGAUCGUUUUCAUCAAUAAGAAAAAAAAAAAGAAAAAAAAAGAAGGAAGCAGACAAUAGCAGGGACAAACAAUAAGAAGACACAGGAGAAGCGGAACAAUUUGGAAUGGCGCGAUCGACCGUAAUUGGGUCCUUCUGUUUAAUCGGAUUCGCCGGCCUGUGACUCUUCAUCAAUUUUCUAUUCAAUUUGUCUAACCAAGUGUAGAGAAUGGUACGUAUUUUUUUCUUUUCCCUUUGGCAAUUAAUUUCCUUCUUACAUUUUUAUCACUUCAAUAAAUUACUUUUGUUACUUCAAUAAUUACGUACUCCUUGUGAAGGUUUUUAGUUUCAGUUAGAAAUUCACAAGGUUAAACUACACAAACCCCUUGGUAGUUUAACUUAUGUCUUAAUCACCCUACAUAAAGAGAAAAUUAUGUCAAUUUCUCAAAUAGGCCCAUGAAAUGUGAGAAGAUUGUUUAAUUUAAUUACAAAAAAAUUUCAUGAAGGCAAGUCCGUGUUGGAAUAUUAAAUAAAAGUCUAAUGAACUACUAAUUUUAGUGAUCGUAGUGGAAAAAAAAAAAGAAGAAGAGAUCAAUUAUUAUUAUUUAGAUGUAGAUCCAUUGUUUUAGUUGCAACCUAGAUAUUCAGAAAAGGAAGUAACAUAAUACUCCAAAUCAUUAAUUCCAAUUGAAUCUUGCAACCAAAUUCAUUAAUCAUUCGAAAUUUUUAUUGACUUGGUUAAGGUAUUAUUAACAAGUACAAAAUGAAAUUAAUAUAAGCAUUUAAUACAAGGAGACAAGUGUAGCAAAGGCCAAAGUGUAGGGAUGGUCUUCACAAUUUAACCCAAAUUUAAAUAGCAAAAGAUAUAAUUCGUUGGAUGAUGACGAGGAAAUUAACAUUGUUGUAACUCACUUUGAAUUACAUAAUGGUAUAUAUUUAGACCUAAUUGCUCUAUGUUUUGAGGGGUAAAAACAAUGAUACUUUCUUUUUUUUUUCAUGCUGCUGCACAUACUAUUAGCGCCACUUUUGUUUUUCCUAUGGUGGAAUCAUAACGUUGGAUCUUUAUGCCGUGAUCUGUUGUGCAAGAUGUCCUAUGAAAUCUUCUUAUUCAAGGGUUUUAAUUUCUAAUACAAUGAUUUUGCUAAUGAUUGUUGUAAGAGACUACGUACCUUUUAGCCACAUUUGGAUCCAUGGUAUUCUUCAAAUGUGCAUGUGUUAACAUAUUUGUAGCCGGAUCAAAAUCUGAAUUCUUUAGGAAAUUAAUAUGCGAGUUUGAAAUGUACUUUACUUUUUCCUUUUUUAAGUUCACGUGCAAUUUAUGAAUAGUUUCAAUAUUUUUCAAGGGAAGAAAUAGCUAUAAGGAUUUUUAUUGAAUCUCUUACCUCUGCUCUAAUGAUCCAAAAUAAGAUCAUUCAAAGAAAUAUUGACUCCACUGAUCCUAAUGCAGAUUGCCGACACAUUCUGAAAAAAGAUGCAGUUCCAAAAUGUACAGGACUUACCUAUUUAGAAGGCAAAGAUUAAAUGUGUAUAACCUUUAACCUAGGAGUCCAACUACUAUCCUUUUAGGAGGACGGAGGUAGGGGUGGCAAUCCAGCUCGCUGUUCGCGAGCCAGCUCGUGUUCGGCUCGAAAUGAGCUCGANGAGAUCGAAUCGCUCGUUUAGUAAACGAGCAGAGCACGAGCUAAAAUUUUCAACUCGUUUAAUAAACGAGCCGAACAUGAGCUGGGGUCAGCUCGCUCGUGUUCGGCUCGAUAACAACUCGAAUACAUAUAUUUUAUAUUUAUAUAUAUAAAUUAAUAAUUAUAUAUGUAUAUAAUAUAAAUUUUUAUUACUCGAUUUUUAGCCCAACCUAAAUAUAAAGCCCAACUCAAUUAUAAAAUAAUUCAUUUAUAUGUAAAAUUUUGAUCAUUAGAUCAAAAUAUCACGGAUAAGAUCUUAUAAAUUUAUUUCCUAUAUAUAUUUUCUCUAAUCCUUUUAAUUUUUUAUUCAUAAGCUAACUCAUAUUUGGCUCAUGUUUAGCUCGUUAAUAAACGAGCCAAAAACGAGCCGAAAUUUUUGGCUCGUUUAUGAAACGAGCCGGCCCCAGUUCGCUCGUGUUCGGCUCGUUGACACCCCUAGAUGGAGGUCUUCGUCCUACUAAGCCAUUUUAGAUUAUAGGAAUUCCGAAUCGAUGAUCGGAACCGUUAAAAUUUAUCUAAAGUAUCGUAGCUAUGCCCGCAAGCUUUCGGGUGCCCGGACCAAUGUCUGAAUCCCCUAGUGAGUCACCUGUUCACUGCUUGCUGCUCAUUGUCCCAUCAAUAUUUGAAUUGCUAUAGUAACUUCGGGGAGUCCAAUACAAUGUGACCGGUGACUCAUUUUUCUAGGCUCAGCUAAGUCAAUAUCAAGCAUUUGGAAUCACAAUCUGGAUCCUCCUGCUCCUCUACUCGCCACUUCCGGUGCCUUAAACCCAUUUCGGGCAUCCGAAAAGUCAGGCAUCUGAAAAGUCUCUGAAACUCAGUUUCAGUUGAGUUUAAUCUCAGAGUUCAUUUUCGCAUUCAUUUCGCAACAAACGCAAAAGCUACUAUGGACGACAAUAACAAGCAACUAGCAGAGAGUGAAUUACAUUUGUUUAUGCAUCAUGACUAUUCUUAUAACAAAGUCCAAAUUGACCCCAUUACCAUUUUGUCGUCCCAAGGAUCAACUCAACUCAUUUCUGUGGAAAUAGCCAGGAUUGAUUACCCAGAUGCAAUGCCGUGGACAAAAAUAGGGCUAGCUACCCGGUUGCCAAUAUUUUGUGGAUAGAGCUAAAACUGGUAUCAAGUUGCCACUUUGUGGACGAAGUUGGGACUGCCUACCUAGUUGUUACCUCGUGGACAAAGUUGGGAUUGACCACCCAGUUUCUAUAUUGACGCCCCAUUCCCGAAGGGACCUCAAGGACAUGACCACCCAAGGUGUUUCCAACAUCACGCUUUGCAACUGAAGGGCACACACUUGUGAUUGAACUCUCUUUAGGCUCUAGCCAAACAUGUUACUACUAUUCUAGGUCCAUAUGUUAUUGCAAGUGCAUUCAAGUUCAUUUAGUGUCUGUGCCAUGAUAUUGGAGUGGCAACAAAGAAUCACACAACAUGUGUCCACUAGGCAUGUUUCUACUAAGGUCUAUCGUGACCAAAUAUACAUUAAUUACUAUAUGUGUCAACAACACAUAUACAUCAAAGUUCUUCUAGUAUGCGUUACAUGACAAUAAUGUCCAUAACACAUGAACCAUAUCUAGCCAUGCAACUACUUGCACGUACCGCUAGUGGAUGCACAUAUCAUGAACAUUUCAUAUGCGUGUGUAAACAUUAGCUAGCCUAUGAUGCUUGACUAUCAUAUGGAUCUCAUGAACAAUUAAUGAGUCAAGAGAAGGGGGUUAAAAAGAUUGAACCAUCUCCAGGUAUCAUUAUACCCACUUUGUAUUAAGCAUCCACCUCGGUUAGCUCACUCCUUGAUCACGAUGCGAUCCCAGCUUCCCAAUCCUCGCUCAAGCCAAAAGAUAGCAUAAACAAGUCAUAUACUAAGGUAGGAUGCACUUCCAAUCCAAAAAGAAUUCAUAAAAUCCUAUACUAAAGUUUAUGGAAUGUAAGGUUCCUCACAGGUUCCUUACAGGUUUCAAGACAUGAAUUUAGGUUCUACAAAAACAACUAAUUUCACAUAGUUUUUGUCACGCCCCGUGACCCGCCUAUUUGGUCGGAUUCGGGUCGUCAACAGACCGCCGAACGGACAGAGUUUCCCCUAUACGUCCUAGGCAUCGCAAACAGUACAAUACAAGAGGUUCCAAACAGGAACAGUAUUCAUACAACGAUUGCAUAAUGAAGAUAUCAAACAAUAUAAACAACUAAACUAUUACAAGCAUUCACAUCACAUGCUUUCUUUUUACAUAUUACAUUUCCUUUUUCUUUUCUUCCAAAUACAACCAAGAUUAUUACAAUAUUGUUUUACAUCUUUUCUACAACCCCUAGCUAAGCCGACUUGGGGUAAUGCUAUUUUUGGUCUCGGUGGUAGGGUGCUAUCUACGGAGCUACGCCCUUUCCUUGCAUCGCCGCGCCGCUCACGUGUGAAACCUGUACCCCCAAAAACAACACGGGGGUUAGAACUAUUAUCCAUAGUUCCCAGUGGGUACGGCCACCCAACAGAAAAGCUCGACCCACCAGGUCCGAAGGAAGCACUGCAACAUAUUAGUCCAACAAAUAUCCAAUAUAUAUAUAUAUGCAAGUACUAAAAUACAUGUUAUGCCUCUCAACAUGCAACAAUGAAAUCAUGCAACUAUGCAAAUCAACAUGCAAUAAGCUAAGUAGAUCGACUGAUUCUACUUUCAAUCCUGCUAUUCAUAGCUCAUCUAAUUGACAUCUAAGGUUUUCUCUAUCUUAGAUUCAUGUCAUUUACAAUUCUACUCAUAAGGUUCUAUUUACCUUUAUCAAGCUAUCCACUUAACUCGGUCUUAAAUCAAUCAUCCGCGGAAUACCGUGCAAAACCAGGCUCAAGGUGAAGGACAUCUCACUUGCACCUUAGCCUUAAGUCCACUCAACUGGGAUGCCAACUAGGAUGCCAAUCCACUCUGCUGGGAUUCAUCAAUAGCUUACAAGAAUGUCAUCCAAUCUCACUGGCUAACCAAAAGGUUAAACCCCGACUCACUUUGAAAAUCUCAUAGGUGAGAAGAAGCUGCACUCGCACACCGAGACCGUCUGUGGAACAACUACAUCUGCCCCGGGGCAACUACGUCUGCCUCCAUCGUGAAGUACUCCGGAGGCCACUACUUGGGUGGAGCGACCACGCCAAGUAAAAAACAGACUAAGUGAGUAUGAUCCAAUCCUCUCACUCGAGGAUACCCUGUCUACUAGGUUUAACAACGACGCGGGAAAUCUACUAAUCCUUACAAUAAUGUGGGAAAUCUACUAAUCCUUACAAUAAUGUCACAAGUAUCUCUACUACACUAGUUUCACAUGGUACAUAUCCACCACUCGGGAAAUCAUCUAUCCCUAUGUUCAUGUCAUAGUGUCUCUACUACACUAGUCCAAAUGCUACUCGAUCUACUUGACAAUCUACUAGUCCAUAUCGAGUAUCAUAGUUUUCACAUGUCCUUGUUUUUCAACGUCGAAUUCUCUAAUCAACCUAGAGUUAUCGACCCAAGUUCAACAUGCAUAUGUCAAUUAACAUAAUCCUCUAUAUGUCAAUGUGCAUUCCAUCUAGUAAUCCUACAAUAUGUCAUCAUGCACAUAUACCAACUAGCAUCUCAUGAUAUGUCAACAUGCACAUAUACAUCAUCUAGCAUAAUCCAAAAUAUGCCAACAUGCAUUACAUCUAGCAUUUCUACAAUAUGUCAACAUACAUAUGUUUGUCAUCCAAUGGUAGUCAAGCAUCUCGCGCAUUCAUAUAGCAUCAUUUUCAUGCAUUUAUCUAUCAUUCAUUUCAUGCAUUCAUCUAGCAUUUAUUUUCCAUGCAUUCAUCUAGCCAUUAAUUCACUAUAUGCAUCAAUAAUAAACAUCACUUCGCUUCGACAUGGAAGCGAACUAAACAUUUCGGUGAGCACAAUCCACCUCGCAACGCUUUCCGAUUGCUUGUCGACACUUGCAAUCGGCCUACCGUAGCAUACAAUAUCCGAUUCGGCUCGAUCUUGCAAACAAUCACCAACCGUGCGUCAAUCCGCGGAGUCGGGUUUUAAAGGGCUUCAUCUAGAUGCCACGAUGCUACAAAUCCGAUUUUGCUAUUUUUGGAUGUCGCCUCAGCCCUCCAGGCGGAAACGAAGCUUAACGGUCCUUUUUCCCAAUAUCUUCACAUAGCCUCGAUGGAUUGCCGAACCGUCUUCGCUAACACGUCAGAAUACCUAGCAAUUGGGUUUAUAUAGGUCCAAUUUAGAUCAAAUAUAUUUACAAAACCCACAUCUCUAACCCUAACAUGAAAACAACCUCAAAAUAAUUCGAAAUUAAAUGGAGCAUCAUACUAGAAAUACUAUAGAGACCAUUAGAACACUACACAUCAAGGAUUAAACCAAAUCCUAAACACUUACCGAAAUUGCGAAUGCCGAGUCGAAAGCACGCCGCUCUACCGGACGCACGAAGACUCGAACCGUUGCUUCCAACGCGUUGACUAGCUCGCUCUCCGCCAACGCCACGAAUUUGAGAGAGAGAUCUAGAGAGACGAGAGAGAUAUUUAGAGAGAGAAAGGGAGGGUUUCUCUCUCCCUCCAUAUGUGCGUGUGUAUGUGCUAUGGGUGUGUGUUCGGUUGAAGGAGAAGAAGAAGGCAAAUGCUUCUUUUAUAAUUAACACUCUCAAAACACUAUUCAUACUAGCAGUUUAGCAGCUCAGGAUCAGAUACCUUUCGCCGCCCCUUCUGAAUGUCCGUUCAUGCUCAAAUUUGACAGUCAGGCUCGGUUUUUGCUAAAUAAAUGGAAUAUAUCUUAACUUUUUAGUUUUAACCAUUUUGGUUACCGAAAGCUCUACCGACAAAAAGUCUCUAGCAGAUAGCAGUCGGAUUUUAUUUUUCACCUUCCGGGUGUCAGAAUGACAUGAAACUUUAAAUCUAACCUCAUAAAAAUAAUCUUGACAUAUUCCCAGAUUUUCAUAAUUUUCUGACACUGUGAAUUUUCUGCUAAAAAUACCAGUCCCGUCUCUUACAAAAAAUUCUAAAUCUCCUGUUUUUAUUCCGAUUUCAGCACGAGUCAUUCCAAACUUACAUUUUACUUCUUUAAGUCCAAUGAAAAUAGUAUAUUCCACUAUUUUUAUUUACACUUAAUUUUAUAUUACAAUCUGGUACAUUACAGUUUUAAUUAUCAAUAUCCGAAAU
Molecule: long non-coding RNA, 80053 nt
Filed under: Ananas comosus (pineapple)
Lineage: Eukaryota; Viridiplantae; Streptophyta; Magnoliopsida; Poales; Bromeliaceae
Description: long non-coding RNA (ACOM_LNC003759)
Source: RNAcentral